RNAcentral lists this long non-coding RNA (56915 nucleotides) under Capsicum annuum. RNAcentral's name for it is "long non-coding RNA (CANN_LNC017619)". Lineage: Eukaryota; Viridiplantae; Streptophyta; Magnoliopsida; Solanales; Solanaceae. The record is from RNAcentral.
AGGGGAAGGACCUGGUUCUGUCUUUCAUGUCUUUUAUAGGGGAGGAGCAGCUCUGUGGUAUCAAGGAUAUUGGUCCCAAGUAGCAGAACGUGGAAGUGGUGUUAUGAUAUAGAGUUCCAAAGAAUUGAUAUAGUACGUAGAAACUCCUACUCCGUGUAGUUUAAAUUCUUACUACUAGUAAUUGGUGAUUGUUAUUUACUAGUCAAGUCUGAUUGUUGUUCCUUUCUUACAAUUGUUUAUUAUAAUGUAUUAUGUAAAUACAAAUUUCCAAAUAACUAUUUUAUAUAAAUUGUUGCAAUUGAUAUUUUUACUAGUUACAACAUAUGACAACAAUUGUUGCUAUAGAUCAAUAAAUUAUUGCAAUAGUAUUAGAAAUUGUUGCAAUAGGUAGUCAAAAACCGUUGCAAAAUGUUAAUAAAACCAUUGCAAUAGGUAGUCAAAAAUGUUCCAAUAGAAUAAUAGAUUGUUACAAUAGGCUUUAAAAGUAGUCACAAUAUAUAGGAAAAAAUUAUUGGAAUAGAAUUAUAAAAUUGUUACAAUAGCUUCUAUUCCAACAGUUUAACAUCGUUCCAGUAGAAUCUAUUGCAACAUUUAUUAACUGAAGUUAUAGGUCAAAAGAAGCAUCCUAAUUAAGAGAAAAAGUAAUUUUUGCUAUAGGUUGGUCUAUGGCGACAUUUUCUACCAGCCGUUCCAUCAACAGUUGCGAUAAAUCUAUUGAAAUGUUCAUAUAUAAGACAGUUGUUUAACCAUUGCAAUAGAGCUAUGGCGACGAUUUUUGAACCAUUUCCAUUGGGGUAAUUUCUAACAAUGAUUGUAGUGCUUGGACAUAUAAAUACAUCCAAUCAUAGUUUUUUCUCUACCAAAUUCAACUGCAUCAUGUUCAUUAUCACCACAACAAUCAUCUUUAUCUAAUUCAAAACUAUCCUCAUUAGAACUUGCAAAGUAAGGCUCAUUACCUCCAAGCCUUCCUUCAUAACUUACUCUACCUUUUUCAGUUUUAUCAAAACCUAGAUCUGGUCCUGCUUCACCUACUAGUACCUCUGCAUUGUUAGUUGGUACUCUCUUAUUUUUCUUUGAAUCUUUCUUUUUUCAGCUCUCAACUCCCUAACCUCCUCAUAUAUAUCACUACCAUAAUUCUCUUCAUUAUCAUCUCUAAUUAAUUCUCCUUCUGACUCAAUACUAUUCUAAGUAGAGUAACCAGAACCCUUUACAUCUUCUGAAAAAUCAAAUCCAGCCGGACCAACAUCUAUAUCAUCAACUGCGGCAGUACUAGGUGGAGUAGCUCUAGGUACAACAACACUAGGUGAAAAAGCAAUUGGUGCUGCUAUAUCUAACUGCAGCAGCACUAGAUAUAUUAGUACUAGAUACAGUGACACUAUCGUAGUAGUGAAAAGAAGUGUGAUAUUGAUAGGAGAUAUGGUUGGAAAAGAAGUAAUAGGGUCCUCCAUCUUUAAAUGGUCCUCACCUACCUUAAAGUUAGGCAUAGUAUUAAAAGUUGCACCAAAUUAACCCAUAUCCCUAUGACUAAAAUUUUCUAAUAACAUGGGGCCCACAGUAGGCUCAUCAACUAAAUGGUUGAUAAAUACCUCUAAUUCAUCCCCAUCUUCCAAGGAACACAUCAUGUCUAAAAUAUCUAUAUCAUUAUCAACACCUACCAUAAUGCUAAUGUUAGGUGUUUUAAUACUAAAGGUGCAACUUGUGCUAUAUCCCAAUUUUCUAAUAUAGUCGCUCAACUGAAAAUAGGACAUCUUAUCUUCAUCAACAUCCAAAUAUAUAGUUACUUUUCCACCAUUAUACACUAGUUCCCCACUACUUAAAUCUAACAGCCAACCAUAGUACCAUCUUAGAAUAAUUAAUGUAUACCCAGUUAUGUCUUACCCAAAUGCAAUCAAGAUAAGAGAAUAAGAUUUACUCGACUAGACAUUAUAAAAAUCAAGCAACAUUAUCAAAAAGGAAGCAGUAGAUGAUAUUAUCAAAAAUCAAGAAUUUCUCUAGUUUCAUCCAAAUUAUCAGGCUUAAACAAUGAAUAAGAAACAGAUAAUAUGAAUUUUCUAAUGUAAUAGAUACUCUUUUAACAAUGAAACAACCUAAUACUAAGACACAUAUAAAUGCAACAUCAUGCGACUUAGAUGACAAAGAAAAAAAUUUGAUUUCAUUAUAAUAAUUGUAAUAUGAUAUAGAUUGAACACCUCAGAACGUAAUAGUAAGACACACAUGCUAUUACACACAAUAAAUUACCAAAUUUGUAAGACUAAUAGUAAACAAUACAAAAGACCUAAUUUUGAAUCACCCAAGUUAAAUAAUCAAUGAAAAUAUGUUUAGAGGGGUAAUGGGACUCCCAUAAAUAUUGUGUGUAGUUGGGAUUUCUGCUAAAGGUUGCGGGGGGGGGGGGGGGGGGAAAAGAUUUUUUUUUACAUUCCCAACAAUGAGUUAAAAUUAUCAAAGACCAUAACAAUCAACAACACAAGUUUUACUAUUACAAUGAUCAUAGUGAAUUACAAUCCGAGCAUGUAGUUCUUUUGUGGCCAUCAUUCUUACAUACAAAGCACUUGUUUUUUCUUGAUGAAAAUGAUUCUCUAACUCCACGCUUCUUCUUAUAUCACCUUCUUGGUUUGAUAGUGCUUGGGUCAAUAUAUGGAGGAGGUAUUAAUCUCUCUAAAAUCUCUACAAGAGCAACCUAAGAUUCUUUAGGAGGCACCGGAUUAAUAUUCUUACUAUAUGCCAUUAUAUAUCUUUCCACCAAAUAAUAUGGAGACGAGUACUCAUAAAUUUGAGUUCCAUAUUAUGCACCAUAUUGGGCUCGAAGCGCUUCCAUAGCAUGUGGAUAGUGAAUUUUGUCCAAGUCAAAAACUUUACGUGUACAAGAUUUUAUUUGAAGAUCGACCGUGGUAAUAUCACCAUGUCCGUCGAUACUGAACAUGUAAUCUACUAUUGAUGAGUAAAUAACUUAUUCUCCAAAUUUAUGUUCGUUGAUAUUUAUUUUUUUUCUUCUAGAACAAGUCUAUUUCUUGUGUAUAUGAAAUGCAUACGCCUUUCAUGAAAUAAUUUGUCAUACUUUUUAUUUAUUUCAUCAAAUAGUGCCACAAUGGGAGAUCUAUUUCAACAACAAAUAAUGAAUUCACUGAUUCAACUAUAUUUGACGUUAUAAUAUUGUACCAAUACAAAAAAAAUCAUUUAGUACAACAUCAUACAGUAUUACAAACUUGUAACACAAACAAAACAUUAAAUUUAUAACAAUGUACCUACUUAUCGGACAAAAUGCCUAGCUUCAUCUCUUGAAAUCAGCACAUUCGAGAUGUUGUGCUACCUUAGGUGACAUAUCCCUUAUUUGAUUGAAAUGGUCAAAAAACUCAGAUAACAUAUGCUUUAGCUACUCUACAAAAAAGAAACAGGACCCUUUAAUUGUGAAAGUUGUUUUGAAUUUUUCUCCAAGAUGCCUCAUGCAACAAUCAAAGAGAGCUGAAGUGUAGAAAAUUAAACCUAUCUUUAGAAUACUUGGAUGCCUAUCCAAAAAAAUACACAACUUUUCUAUAUCUUCGACACAGCAACACUUUAGUUCAAAAAAUAUCCAUACGAGACAUCAUAUUCCUUGUUCACAACACAAAAAAUGUCAGGAAAUACGUGACUCUCUGCAUCCUGUGCCACUGCUGAUAGAAAAACUCCGCCAUACUUGCUCCUUAAGAAAGUCCCAUUGAUGAUAUGACUUUUCUCAACUGUUGUAAACUAAGAAUUCAAGCACCAUAUAAAAAAUCUUUUUUCAAGCAAGCAAUAAACAAAGAAGUAGAUAGUUAUAUCUUAUUCUUAAAUGACACUCCCUUGUAAAAAACAAUCUUAUCAUUGUAAUGACCUGAGACUACCCCCUAACCCAUGAACUGGCAUACUAUUAAGCAACUGAAUUAUAACAUAAUAAAUAGCUAUUUUUGAUGUACAGAAAUAUAAUCACACUGAAAAUCUAAAAUAAACACAAUACUAAUAAAGCUUUACAAUCUGAUAAAUCUGAAGAAUGAAACUGGAAUUACAUGAUUGACUCUGACUGACAACAAUGAAGCCUCUACUAUACUAACUAUAGAUAGUUGGGAUAUGCAUUCAACUACCACUAAUAAAUACACAUGGAGAAUAAAUAAAUUAUAAAUAAACUAAAACUGUCUAGAGUUCUCAACUUAGGAGAACUCAUAACCUGCUGGCUGGAAUCUGCAACUGUCUGAUUGUGAUAUGAGGGCUAAGAAUAGUACCUAUAUUAUGAAACAAUGUAUCCACAUAGACAUAUAUGUGGAUCAGUACUUCUGGAAUAUAUCGAGUAUGUAGGGGUGAAUGCAAUAAGUAAAACUUAUUUCAUAUAUAAAAUAUUAAAACAUGCAUGCUAAGUGUAAGUAGACUCACCAAUAGGCUAGAAUAAAUUGAAAGCUAAAAUAUCUUAAAAGAUGAGUAAUAAACCAAAUCUGGUAAGCUGGUGAAUCUCAACACUUAGUUUCUAUAAGACUUUACUUUUAUGAGAUAAGUAGAACUGAAGAUGGGAUAUGAUAAAACGUAGAUUCUAUAUGAAUACUGGGUGUAAAACUAUGUGGUAAAGACUAACCUAAAUCAAGGAUCUGAAUAUAUAAUCACAUUGAGAAUGAAUGCAUAAACAUACUAACUUAUCUGAUUAACUGAAUGAUUAAUAGCUGACUACUAGUCGUGCAAGACUAAACUGUACUUAGUCUGAAUAACUAGAGUGAAACUGUAGAGUAAAAAGCAUAUGAGGUAAGGACUAAAUAAGCAACAUGAGAUAACUGAUCAUGAAUGCGUGUAAACUGUAUUGUCUAAGAAAGCAAGACCAAGUAUAUAACAUAAUUCUAAAAUAGUCUAUAAACUAAAAUACUAAAAUCUAAUAACUGAAUAACUAUAUCUAUACGCUAGGGUCAAGCAACACUAAAACUAAAUUACUGAACUGAUUACUGGAAUGAGAGUGUAACUAAAACUAUAAUUGAGACUGUGGGGGGUAUCAUCUAACCGAUAUGCCCUAACUUGAGCUAAUUAGGGUCGAACCUGUAACCCCAGUUGGAAGGGUGUUAGUAUCGUUCCAUGGGUACUACCACUAGCUGUGUGAAUCCAGUAUACUGAUGUACUAUAUUGUCCUAAAGGACUAAGGGUGUCAAGCCUGAAAUGAUGGGUGACCCCUGCGAGAUAGUCAAGCCUAAACUGAUGAGUGACUUCUCAUAUUCUAUGUUAGCUACAUAGUUCUGGAAUACAAGAACUGCUACUAAGGGAUCUUCCUAACUAACGGGGAAGCCGUCAUCCCUGCAUUCGCUCGAUGUUAAAUCCUACUCCCAACUAAAAGACACUAAAAUACUAGCUAGUGUAUGCAAUGAUAACUGAUAACUGAUAAGCUUAGGUCAUGGUAUUCUAAAAAUAUCAGUGUAUAGGGAUUCUGAGGUAAUUAUUAGGAACUGAAACUGGACUGAGCUAACUUAAUUGGACUCAUAAUUGACCAUAUUACUGAUUGAAUGAUAUUUUUUAUCAUAUAACUAAAAUCAUUCUGUAGAUUCUGAAAAACUAGACAAUAACUAAAUUUUUUGUAUUCAUAACCCCCAGGACUUGAUAUCAAUAGUAAAUAAGAACACAUGAGAGAAUUUGGAACCAUAAUAAGUAUGCAUUAUUUGAAGGACACCAUCACUUGGGUAUUUUAUCAAAUACAUGGUUAUUAAUACUUUAACAUGGGGAAAUUCAUCAAACACAUGGGGAUUAUGAACUUUAACAUGGGAAUAUCUUAAAUAUAGGAGCAUAGCAUGAUUACAUAACUAGAAUCAUGAAUUUAGGAAUUCACAUGAAAUUUGCUUGAAAUAGGACAUGGGUGUUUCAUCAAAACAUGUAAAGUUCAUAGAUUGAAUGUAAGAAUGUCCUAAACAAGGGUGAACAAUAGAAUUAUAAGGUAAAUUUUAUAAGUGGAGGAUUUAUCUUAAAAUUGACUUAACAUUAUAUAGGAAUUUCAUCAAACAUGCGGAAGACAUGAAUUUAAAACAUGAGAAUAUUGAUAAAUAUCAUGAAUUUAGGAUCUAUCAUGGAAUUUACUUUACUAAAGCAUGGGAAAUUCAAAUUCAUAUCAUGGGGAAUUCAAAUCUUACAUGGAAUUACACAUGGGAUGAAUUACAUUUAAAGAUACCAUCAAAACAUGAAAUUUUAUUUUUCUUGAACAUACAAAAUAUCAUAAUCAUAAAAAUUCAUUCUUUACUUUGGAAGAGAAGGGUUUUGGCCUCCAUGGGUGAAAGAAAACCCAUGGAUGAACUCCCACAUAUCUUAUUAUGCUUGAUUUGAUGUAAUAGCUUGACUUCGAACCUUUUGGAGAUGAUUUUGAGAACAUUCUUGAAGUUCUUGGAUUAGGAAUCCUAAAUUCUUGAUCUUUUUAUUGAAGAGAAGACGAUGGAAUUGAUGACUCUUGAGGGAAUUGAUUAAGGUUUGUUCUUGAGGAAAAAAUUAGAGGAUGAGAGCAAAUAAAGCCUGAAUUAAAGCCUUAGAUUGUGUUUUUACGAUCUGGGUUGAGGUGGGAAAAUACUUUAUUUCCCCUCCAUCAUCUAAACCCAAAAUUUGUAACCCAAAUUACCAUUUGAAGGGCCACCACGAAGCGGUGUAAUCGCGGUGGCUUACUACCUCAAAUGAAAAUGCCAUAGCUUUUGACUCGGGUAUUGGAUUAAGGAAAAAUUGAUAUCAUUGGAAAGCUAACUCAAUUAUCUACAAUUUGGUAGGUAUUGAUCUGAAAAAUUCUACAUACAUCAACAGUUAUACACUUUCAAAGUUGGCCCUUAUAGAAUUGAACACCAAACAUUAGACGAAUUAAAGGAUCUUAGUUCAACUUGGCUCUAAGUGAUUUCUAUGAACACUCUUGAACUAAUAAACACUUAACACUCUAAGGAUAACUGUCAAGAAACAUUCAUUCAAAUUAUGGAUCAAUAACAUGACAACUACACCUUUACCGCGACGCAGUGAUUCCCCCCAUAGCUAUACUCACCGCGAUAUGGUGCAAUCGCUGUGAGUCACUGGAAAUUGACAAUUCCCUUUUCACACUCCACUAUGACGUUGUGGACCUCUUGUCACUAUACUCACCCCGAUGUGAUGGAAUUGCGGUGAGCUAUUGGAAUUCUAAUCCAAAAACAAUCCAAGACUAGUAUAAAAAUCUGAAAUCAUUUUGAUAUGCUAUUCCUAACUCCGCUGAUCAUGAAUUAACUCAAGAACCAUUAUCUCAAAGUCCGAAAGGUCAACUUAAAUUCCUUAAAGUUAGAAGGUCUUAAGAAUUGUUAAGUCCUCAACACAUAGCUAAAUUUUUAAGCUUUUAGCCUCUUAUGCAAGCACUAGGAUUUGAACUAAACUAUGAAAAGUAUGUGGUAUUACAAUAUCUCUCCCUUGGGAAUAUUUAUCCUCGAAUGAGACUGGUUAGACUUAGAGUACUGUACCAAGGCAACUGAGAUCAUAUUUUGAACAUGACUAACUUAGAACAUGAUUGCAUAACUGAUUCUGAAGCAUGAUACAUGAACUGAAUAUCAUGAACUGAACUGAUUUCUUAUAUACAUACAUUGACAUAAGAAUGAUUAUAAGGCUGGGAUAUAAACAAGAGAGUCAACUGAUGAGUAACCAUUAGUUCAAGAUGGAUCCUAUUUUGUGAAGGAAAUUGAAAGGUUUAGGGCAUGAAUACUUGGGGUAUUAUAAUACAUCUCCCCCUUGGGAUACUUCGUCCCCCAAAUAAUACUGACUUGUAUGAAAUACUAAGGAAAGAUUGAGAUAAUACAUAGGAAAAUUAUAGACUGAAUCAUGACAAAAUAUCUGGGAUUUAAGACUAAUGUACAAUUCAUGAACUGAGUUGAAUUUACAAAUUACAUGGAUAUGAAUGAAUUACCUCUAGGAAUAGCCAUAUUCAUGAGAGUUUUGAAUAGUAUGACUAGAUGUAAAGAUGCAAAGCCAUAGGAACUUGUCUGUCUGACUGCUAGACUGGAUUGCCAACUAUACAAACUGAAUUAUACUGAAAUUUUAUACUCAACUAUACAUUCCACACCAAGAUGACAUUCAAGCCUAUCUUCAUAACCACACUUGAAAUUGUAGGUAAACCACCACAAAAGAAUCUUUCUUAUUUUCUCUAAAACUUUAUCCUUAAAAGUUUCAUGCACUAGCCCAAGAAAACACAUAUAGAAUUUUAACUAAUUAUAACAUAAGGAGAGGUCACUGAAAGUUAGAACAUAAGGACCUAAAACAUGAAAUAAUAACUUUGAAACUCAACUGAGGCCUGAGGAAUAAAGUAUCAAUGACAUAAAUUUGCCAGAGAGAUCUGAAUUGAGGAUAUACAUGAGAUAAACUAAAUUUCGCUAAUCAUUAUGAGUGUAGCAUGAGUAGCUGGAUCUGAACAUACUAUAAAAAAUAAGAACAUGAGCUGAAUGACCUGAGUUUGGAGUUCAUGAUUUCAUGGAACAUGAUUUAUACUAUUGAGUAAACUAGAACUCCUCAUACUAGAAACUGAAAUCAUACAUCAUUUUUCUAUAAAGUGCAUGUACAUGAUCUGUGAUGAAGGAGAAGACAUGUUAGGAAUGAGUAGAUAACGUGAUGACUAAAAAACUUUGCACUAAUAUAAGAAUAGGUUGGGAAUCAUCCUCCCGCACUGCUUUUCUACACAUACUGGCACUACUAUUAGAAUCUGAUAGCCUGACUUGAUUACUUGUUCUAUCAUCUCCCCCUUAGCUUUAAGCUAUUUUUAUAAGUAUGUGAACCACUUAAUAAACUCUAAAUUGAACUGGAAUCACUUUACUCUAGAGUUUGGGUUUAAUAAUAAACAUGAAUGAUAAACUCAUCCAAACCAUCAUACUUACUCUCGAAUCAACAAACUUAAAUUCUUGCAUAUACUGUUUAAGCCUACUGAUUCACCUUUCGUAUAACUAGCCCCAUGAAUAUAUAAUAUGCUCAAUCUGGAUAACGCUAUCCCAACUCUAUUACUGCUAAACUUCUGGGUUCAUACUUCUAACACUAAAUCACAUACUGAAAAAGGGAUUCUAAUAAGGAAAUCUGAAAGCACAUCUGACUUUGACUUAAUGUAUGAUUCUCAUGAACAUGAAUGGAAUAUUUCAAACUUUAGGACAUAAGAGACUGAUGGGAUACUUUCUAAGCCAACAUGUAAUCCCAUAACAGUUUGUGGGGACUAACCGAGGAAACACUAUUUGUAAGGACUUAAUCUUUGUUGUUUCUGUCGCCUCAAAACUAAGGAAGAGUUAGCAUGAAUAAAUCAAUAUGAGCAUCUACAUAAAUUUCUUAGAUAAUAUUUUUAAUGCAUGAUCUGAGACUUGAAACAAGGGAAAUAUUUUCUAAAUGCCCUGUAGCCUCUCGAAGAAAAGUACAGACGUCUCCGUAGCAUUCUGUAAGACUCUACUAGACAUGGCUUCAUAGACACCCUAGGACACUUGAACUCUGUGCUUUGAUACCAAGUUUGUAAUGACCCAAGACUACCCCUUAGUCGUCACACAGUGCUAGGAACCACAAGUGAUCCCAAGCUAACCCAUGAACUAACAUACUAUUAAGCAACUGAAUUAUAACAUAAUAAAUAGCUAUUUUUUUUGUGCAAAAAUAUAAUCAUGCUAAAAAUCUACAAUAAACACAAUACUAAUAAAGCUUUACAGUCUGAUAAAUUUGAAGAAUGAAACAAGAAUUACAUUGUUAGCUUUGACUGACAUCUAUGAAGUCUCUACUAUACUGACUAUAGAUACUUGGGACAUGCCUCCAACUACCACUAAUCAAUACAUAUGGAGAAUAAAUAAACUAUACAUAAACUGAAACUGUAUGGAGUUCCCGAAGUAGAAGAACUCAUCACCUGCUGGCUGAAAUCUGCAACUGUCUGAUCAUGAUGUGUGGGCAACAAAUAGUACCUACAUUAUGAAACAAUGUAUCCACACAGAUGUAUUUAUAGAUCAGUACUUCUAGAAUGUACUGAGUAUGCAGGGGUGAAUGCAUUAAGUAGAACUGAUUUCAUAUAUAAAAUCUUAAAACACGCAUGCUAAGUGUAAGUAGACUCAACAAUAGGCUAAAAUAAACUGAAAGCUAAAAUAUCUUAAAACAUGAGUAAUAAACCAAAUCUGGUAAGCUAGUGAAUCUCAACACUUAGUUUCUAUAAAAUAUUACUUUUAUGAGAUAAGUAGAACUGAAGCUGGGAUAUGGAUUCUGUAUGAAUAUUUGGUCUAAAACUACAUGGUGAAGAUUGACCUAAAUUGAGGAUCUGAAUAUACAAUCACAUUGAGAGCGAAUGCAUAAACAUACUAACGUAUCUAAUUAACUAAAUAAUUGAUAGCUGAAUACUAGUCAUGUAAGAUUGAAUUGUACUUAGUCUGAAUGACUGGACUAAAAUUGUAGAGUACUAUGCAUAUGAGGUAAGGAUUUACUGAGUAACAUGAGAUAACUAAGCAUGAAUGCAUGUAAACUAUAUUGUCUAAGACUGCAAGACCAAGCAUAUAACAUAAUUCUUAAAUAGUCUAUAAACUAAAAUAUUGAAAUUUGAUAACUGAAUAAUUGAUAUCUAUAUGCUAUGGUCAAGCAACACUGAAUCUGAAUUACUGAACUGAUUACUAGACUGAGACUAUAAGUGAGACUGUGGGAGGUAUCAUCUAAUUGAUAUGCCCUAAUCUAAGCUAAUUGGGGUCUAACCUAUAACCCUAGUUGGAAGAGUGUUAGUACCAUGCCAUGGGUACUACCACUGACUGUGUAGAUCCACUAUACUGAUUAAUGUAUUGUCUCGAAUGAAUAAGGGUACAAGCCUGAAUGGAUGGGUGACCCCUGUGAGAUAGUCAAGCCUAAACUGAUAGGUGACUUCUCAUAUCCUAUGUUGGCUACAUAGUUUCAGAAUACAAGGACUGCUACUAAUGGCUCUGCCUAAAUAAUGGGGAAGCCUUCAUCCCUUUAUUUGCUCGGUGCUAAAUCCUACUCCCAACUGAAAGACACUAAAAUACUAGAUGGUGUAUAAACUGAUACUAAUAAUUGAUUAGCUCAGGUUAUGGUAUUCUGAAAAUAUCAGUGCAUACGGAUUAUGAGGUAAUUAUUAAUAUAUAACUUAUAAUAGAACUGAAACUGGACUGACCUAGCUUAAUUGUACUCACAACUGACCAUAUUACUGAUUGAAUGAUAUUUUCUAUGGUAUAACUUAAAUAAUUCUGUAGAUUCUGGAAACUAGACAACAACUAAAUUUUGGGUAUUCAUAACCCCCAGGACUCGAUAGCAAUAACAAUAUGAACACAUGAGAGCAUUUGGAACCAUAAUAAGUAUGCGUUAUUUUAAGGAACCCAUCACUUGGGUAUUUCAUCAAACACAUGGUUAUUAAUACUUUAACAUAGGGAAAUUCAUCAAACACAUGGGGAUUAUGAAAUUGAACAUGGGAAUAUCUUAAAUAUAGAAGCAUAGCAUGAAUACAUAACUAAAAUCAUGAAUUUAGGAAUUUGCAUGAAAUUUACUUGAAAUAGGACAUGGGUGUUUUAUCAAAACAUGUAAAGUUCAUAGCUUGAAUGUAAGAAUGUCCUAAACAUGGGUGAAUAAUAGAAUUAUAAGGCAAAGUUCAUAACUUGGGGAUUCAUCUUAAAAUUGACUUAACAUGAUAUGGGAAUUUGAUCAAACAUGUGGAAAGGAUGAAUUUAAAACAUGGAAUAUUGCUAAACAUUAUGAAUUUAGGAUCUAUCAUAGAAUUUACUUGACUAAAGUAUUGGAAAUUCACACUCAUAACAUGGGAAUUCAAAUCUUGCAUGGGAUUACACAUGGGAUGAACUACAUUUAAAGAUACCAUGAAAACAUGAAAUUCUAUUUUACUUGAACAUACAAAAUACCAUAAUCAUAAAAAUUCAUUCUUUAAUUUGAAAGAGAAGGUUCUUGGCCUCCAUGGGGGAAAGAAAACCCAUGGAUGAACUCCCACAUACCUUAUUAUGCUUGAUUUGAUGCAGUAGCUUGACUUCGAACCCUUUGGAGAUAAUUUUUAAAUAAUUCUUAAAGUUCUUGGAUUAGGAACCCUAAAUUCUUGAUCUUUUUGUUGAAGAGAAUAAGAUGGAAUUACUGAUUCUUGAGGGAAUUGAUUAGGGUUUGUUCUUCAGGGAAAAAUUGGAGAAUGAGGGAAAAUAAUGUCCCAAUUGAAGCCUUAGAUCUUGUUUUUAUAACCUGGGUUGAGGUUGGAACAGACCCCAUUUCCCCUCCAUCAUUUAAACCAAAAAUUCAUAACCUGGAUUGCCAUUUAAAGGGCCACCGCGAUGCGGUAUAAUCGCGAUGGCUUAUUGCCUCACACGAAAAAUACCAUAACAUUUGACUCGGGUAUUGGAUUAAGGCAAAAUUGGUAUUGUUGGAAAGUUGACUCAAUUAUCUAUAAUUUGGUACUUCUUGAGCUUAAAAAAUCUUCAAACAUCAAAAGUUAUAAACUUUCAAAUUUGACCCUUGUAGAAUCAAACACCAAAUAUUGGACGAAUUAAAGGAUCUUAGAUCAACUUGGAUCUUAGUGAUUUCUAUGAAUAAUCUUGACCUAAUAAGUACUUCACACACUUAGGAUAAAGUUCAUGACACAUAUAUUAAAAUUAUUAAUCCAGAACAUGAUAACUAUACUUUACCGCGAUGCGAUGAUCCCCCGUCGCUAUACUUACCAUGACGCGGUGCAAUUGCAGUGAGUCACUGGAAAUUGACAAUAGCAUAAUCACACUCAUCAUGAUGCGUUGGAACUCUUGGAGAUAUACUCAUCACAAAGUGAUGGAAUCAUGGUGAGCUACUAGAAUUCCAACCCAAAAACAAUCCAAACCUAGUCUAAAAAUCCAAAAUCUUUUUAAAAUGGUAUUCCUAACUCCCCUGAUUAUGAAUUAACUCAAGAACCAUUUUCUCGGAGUGUGGAAAGUCAACUUAAAUUCUUCAAAAUUAGAAGGUCUUAAAAAUGGUUAAUUCCUCAACAUAUAGCUAAAUUUUCAAACUUUUAGCUUAUAUUACAAGCACUAGGAGCUGAACUAAACUAUGAAAAGUAUGGGGUAUUACAGUCAACUUGAUGAUUUCCUGAUUGUGUUGAUUGAGAAGAAUUGCCUACCUCAUUGCUCACAAUAACGAGCAUAGGUUCAUGUCUAGAUCACCUAAUUUUUUAUCAAAUAUGUCUUGUUGUUCUUCUUUUACAUUCAGGUUCUCAUUCUCUCUUAGUUAUUCAACCACGUACACCUUUAACACUAGCCUAGCUGAAUCAUUUAGAUAAGCAUGCAACCAAACUUUAUCAGUUAUCUUGAAACACUACAAGAAAAAGCUUUAUUUAUAACCAACAUAUUGAGACGAGCUGACAAUCUCUUCUCUAAAAGUAUAGCUAUUGAGAAAAAAUUGUAUUAUGAUCCUUAUUUGUGUAUGUUGUUGUGAAGGUACUAAAUAUGGUCCCAAAAAAUAUUAAUAUAUGGUCCCAAAUACUACUAUAUAAUUGAAGGCAUCAACGGGAGAAUUUUUGUUAAAGCGCCAAUUUUUUUUAAUCAAGCGCCAAAUCAAAUUAUUGAACAUUUAAUUAUAUGUUGAAAAUAAAAAACCACUUCCUUUUAUGAAAUUAAGCAAGCCCUAUCUAGUGAUCUAUCGCUCUUUCUUUUCCACCAUUAACUCUGCCUAAUCUUAGCAAUGCUCGCAGCUCUACCCUAAUUUCAAGGAAUUCUAGGUAUGCCUAAAGUUCAAAUUUCAAUCUUUAGGGUUUGUUCAAAAUUCUUUUUUGUGGGUCUUAUAAGCUCUUUCGUUGUUUAUCUUCUUCUCUUCAUUUACAAGUUUGCGGGUGAGCUACUAUUUUAAUUUUUCAACACAUGUGCUUCUACUUUUUUUGGAUUUGUUUGUAUAAUCUUUUGAUCUGAUUUUAUUUUUUAAUGUAUCAUUUGAUUGAAGGCAUGACUUUUAAUUGUAUUUUGUGGUAUAAUUAAAAAUCUUUUGCCUAUCAACUGUUCGACAGAAAUACAAGUUAGAGAGAAAGUACUUGAAUUAACAUUGAGAAAUUCUGAAAAGAGUCGAGAUAUGGUUUUCGUCUUGUGUGAGUUAUAUAGGAUACAACAGACAAAUGUUUAUCUAUGAAAUGAAAGAUCUAAUUUUUUUUGUUAAACACAUUGUUUGAUAAUUUGGCAUAUUUGUUAAGAUUCUGCUGGAGUGAUGGUAAACUUAUUUGUUACUAAUUGCUAUUGUAAUUAACAAAUUCGACAAUAAUAGCAAAUCAACAUAAUUAUACAAUUGGAGUAUGAGGAAUUAACAAACUAAGCAUAUCGAAAAAUACAAACCUCUUAUAGCAAUUGUUAAAUAUAUUGAGGAUAUGAAGGAUUUCCUCCCAGAAAGUAGAACUAAAUACAUGAGUGGAUCACAACUACUAUCGAUUCACAACUAAAUCUUUUUUCUUUAAAAGUUAAUACGGGUUAAGUUAAGAUAUUUGUCCCGUUAAUACAACAUUAUCACAUUGUAGAAAAUAGAAUAUCCCUGCUUAGUGUUGUUUUAACAUCUUGCUAUUCACUCUUUGGUAUUAUUUAAGUCUUUUGUUGUAGUGCAGGCAUUUUGUAAAUAUGGAAUUGCUUGGGUUGUACUUCCUACUUGCUAUGGUGAUUUGCUCAAAAAUGAUUUGAAAAACCAUCAUCUGGAUGUUACUAGCAUAAAUGGUGCAAGAGUAGCCAGACUACGCAAGAUAGAUAUGGAAAGCAUGUGAAUGACUUAGAAAAGAAAUUGGGUGACUCAGAUUUGGAUAAAGUCACCUUAAAGAACUACUUGAAUGCCCAAUACUAUGGAGAAAUUGGUAUUGGUUCACUUCCUCUGAAAUUCAAAAUUAUCUUUGAUACAGGGAGUUCUAACCUUUGUGUUUCACCGUUAAGAUACUAUUUUUCUGUAAGUUAUGCUCUUUAUUAUAUUAAGUUAUUUAACCCUUCACUGGUUUAUCAAAAUUUGUUUCUCACAUUUGAGAUGCUCUCAGAUUUCAUAUUGGUUUCUCUUUAAGUACAAAGCGGCCGAGUCCAGCAUAUAUAGAAUAAAUGGUGAUCAUAGUGUUCCUUUGUACUAAGCAUCUUUGUUUCAUUUAAUGUUUCUUCUGAUUGUGUUUUUCAGUUUUGUAUAAUCAAGGAAACCUUGGGCAAUUUGUUAUGGAACUGAAAGAGUCUCUGGCUAUUUCAAUUAAUGCAAUAUUGAAUUAGUGAUCUUGCAGUCAAAGAUCUGGUGAAUUCUUACUUAACAAGUGGUUUUCCAUAAAGCCUCUGUGGUACAAUUAAUGAAAUAAUAAAGUUAUUGGCUUAUCCCCCACUAUACAGAAGUAUACAAUUUAUUUCCUCAGGAGAAUAGAAUUUUACUAAUUUGUGUGUGCGAUAAUUAUAAAUUCAUCUUUUAGUUGUAUUUAUAUCACAAAUUACUACUUAAUUGGAACAACUUGGAUAAUCUCUUGAUCUUUUUAAAGGUAUGAAAUGCAACUUCACUUGCACCUGGAGAGUGUUCGAAGAUUGAUUUGAGGAGAAAGCCUUUGUUAUAGCCAACAUGAUGGAUCCAAAAGAUAAAGUAAUUCAUAUCGAGACUUCAUCUAUAAAUUAUGUCAAGGUAUAUGUUCUAUUAGUUUCGUAUAACAAUCUAUUUCAUCAAAUUGUAUAGGAUUUAAGAUUUUAUAUAUUUUGUAUCCUAAUUUUGUUUACGUUAGAUGUUUUCAUUUAAAACAUAUCAAACUCUAAUCCUUCCUGCAAGAACAACACAGCCUUACCAGCUCAUUGCUAGCAGAAGCUAACCACUUGAAAAAUGCACUACAAAAUAUUACUUUCGUUGCCUUUUCUAUUCAACAGCCCACCAGUUGCAGAGAUUGUUUCUAUCACCUUUUAAAUUAAUUAAAUUCUGUGUAUUUAUAAACCCCUUAUCAGAGGUGUGCCUACCGAUACCUUUCAAAGUCUUCGACUUGCAAAAAAUGAUAGACACAACACUUGAUUCUUUUUUACCUAAAGGCAUCAUUCUUCAAAGCUACAAUUCAAUUAACUGGAUAUAGAUCAUUAACGUUAUUUCUUAAUUCAACCACCAAGAUUCUUGUUCAUCUUAGGUGAGCUUUGAAUUUGUUACUACUAUUUUGAAAGUUCUUAUUUUUUAGUUGGAGAACACUUAGUUACUUUCUGUAGUAGGAUAGCCAAGACUCAGAUUGACUUUUUGCUGCUUAGGAAGGGGGAUAGAGUAUUGUGUAGAGAUUGUAAGGUAAUCUCGAGUGAGAAUCUUGUGACCCAGCAUAGAUUCCUAGUGAUGGACUUGGUUAUCAAGAAAGGCAAGAUGAGGUGGGGUGGGAAGGGUCGGCCUAGGUUUAGGUGGGGCAACCUAACUCUUUUUAGUGCUUUAGAGAUAGGGGAAAAGUUAGAAGGUAUAGGGGUGUAGGAGUGCAAGAGGGAUGUGGAGAGUAUGUGGGAUAGGGCUGCUAGUUGAAUCAGGGAGUCUGCUAGAGAGGUGUUGCAUGUUUUGAGGGGUGGGUCUGGCCGGUAUCGGGGGGAUUGGUGGUGGAAUAAAGAUGUUAAGAAAAAGGUCGAGAAGAAGAAGGCGGCUUAAGGGAUUUUUUAGUUAGAAUCUUUAAAGGAUCCUUACUUAGAUCGUGAGAACAUGUAGAAAUAUUGUAUUAGUAACUUGCAUCAUCUCUCUACCUCCAAAAGGUAAUGGUAAGGACUGCAUACACUUUACCCUCCCCAUACCUCACUUUGUGGGAUUUCACCAGGUUUGUUGUUGGUGAUAAACACUAUGUCUUUUAAUGGAUAUUCUGAACAUAUGACUAUCUUUCUGAACUUUCAAGAAUGAAACUAAAAAAAUAGGUAAAAGUCAUCUCAACUUUGCUCAAGCAACAAAAAUUUUGGACCAUGAUUCUUUUCAUUGGUAAAUGGUCGAUAAAAAAGAUCAAGAGAGUAUACUAUAUAUUAAGAUGUGAAAUUUGAUACUCUUUUCUGUCAAUGGAGAAGGCUAACAAGGUCCUAGUUAAUUGGGCAGAAGAGGUAUAUCAUGUUGCUUGGUGUGCCCCAACUAUCUUAGAAAGAUACAUUUCAAACUACUCUGAAAGUCAUUGCUAAUAAUCUUUUUUUUUUAGCAUUGCAUUCUGGUUUUCAGGCUCCAAACACCUUGUCCCUUAACUACAGUUCUUUGUCAAACACAUCUGACAAUUUUGGUAAGGUACAUUGCUGUUAUAUUGUUUCAGCUGCUAAAUAAUGCAUCUUUAUAUGCUUAAUCUGCUAAUGAUUUCUUCUAAUUGGAACUCUACUUUGACAGGAAUUGCUAAUGCAAUAUGACCUCUAGAUUUGCACCUAUGUCAGACACCUGCACCGAGUCUGAGCAACUUAAGUUCUUACCAUGUUAAUACAGUUUUUGUCAAGUUUAUAUGCUAUGGUCUCAAAGUUAAGUUCGCCUUGUAUCUCUACUCUUUAGUUACAUAUUUCAGAAAAGCAUUUUCUAUUUCCAUAUUUUUUCUAGUCACAUGAUGGUCUUGUAGUUUAAAGUUUUUUUUAUUGAGUAGGCAUGUUCAAUCCAUGUAUUUGUUUGUGAAAUCUUUUCUUAAUCGAUCAUUGAAGUGGAUUAUCAAACUAUUACAUUUCUCAAAUUUUUAAAGUUAUUAAUGGAGAUUGGGCUAUUUGUUUGAUGCCUCAAAAUACCAUUUUGUGUUAUAGAAAGUCAUGAAGCACAGAGAUGCUGCAUAAAUAGCAGCCAUUGAGGCUAUGUAGGUUGCUUUGGAUACUGAAAGCUUACUCAUAUGAGAGUUUAGAGUCGUUGUGAGUUUCACUGUCCGUCUUUAUUUUGAUUUGAAUCUGCUGGACUUUAAUACAAAGCUUUCUGACUUUUGGCUUGCAAAAGUUGAUCCAAUCAGAGAUCCGUCCUAUGCUUUACCAUCCGUCUUGGGGUUUUGUAUGUGUAUUAUAUUGGUGCUUCAGAACUUAUUCGGGUACUUGCGCAACCAAUUUUUCUUUCUUAAGAGAUACUGCUGCAAUGUUUUGGUCAUUGCUACCUCACUCAUUUCCCCACUCUUAGACCUUACUAUUUUGAGAGAUCCUAACUCAUUUCCCCACUCUUAUUAUCACUUCCCCACACCUCUCUUAAAGUUUAAUUGAAUGUAUAGGAUUAUUUGGCGUGUCCUUGUCCUUAGAAUUUGUUUAAGUACUCUUUUUUAUUGACAUUUUUAUCAUGCUUAUCAUUUUUUUGCAGUAAUCAAGAAAUUAUGCAACUGCCCAGCAAAAGAGCAAUUUUGAAGGUUAGUAAUUGUGUGAGGUUGUGGUUUCUUUAUGCAUGUGAUAUUUAUUUUUGUGGGAGAUUGUGGUUUCUUUCUACGUUGAUAUUUAUUUUCGUAUGAUACUGAAGGUUUCUUUGUGUGUAUGAUGUUUAUUAUGUUUAUAUCGAGGAGAGGUCCUCUUUAUAGUGAUGAUUUGUUCUAAAGUACUAAACUAGAUCAUUUCAUUUGCUAAUUACUUGUGAAAACUUCCUCAAUUACAGGUUUUGAUGUUUUGAAGAUACAAUUUUUGAAGAUUUCAUGCUAGCUAUUCAAAGUUGAUUAUCGUCAUUGCUAAGACUUUACAAUACAAGCUAGGAAUGUUAAAUUUAGGAUUAUGUAACCAGUUCUAUGAUAUUUAUAUCAUUUCUUGAAGAUAAUUGAAGUGUAAAUACAUUUGUUUGUAAUAUAUCCAAAAGUUUUCUUUAUAUAUUUUUAUAUGCAUCUCGUUCUCUAUAUUGUAUUUAAUAAUAAUUUCAAGAAACUGGACAAAGAAAAUUAUAUAUUUAGUUAGAGAUCAUAAUUCAUGGUCUAUAAAACAUAGUUCAGGGAUCAUGUAUUUCUUAGGACGAGCAGAUAAUGGUCGCUAAAGGUCUAUAGGGACCAAAAGAACAUACGUGUAAUAUUUAAUUAAGGACUAGAAAAUUGGUCACCAAAACAUUUUUAGGGAUCGGAUUUGUGCUGGUCGCUAAAAAUCUUUAUGGACCAGUAAAAAAAGAUCGUCACUAUUAACUUUUAGCGACGAAGCCUAUAAGGACGGGCGGCGACCGGAUUUUUCUGGUCGCUAUUGACUUUUAAGGACCAGAAAUAGGCUUUUAGGGACCAGAUUUCCCUUCAUUAAUAGCCAUUUUUCUUGUAGUGUUUGGUACUACCCUCUGAUUUUCAAAAGAGCUAUGCAUGUAGCGAUGAUGAGUUCUUCUAGUUGACAAUUCAGUCCAUAAUAGCUGAUGAUUAAGUUCAAUAAAUCAUCACUUUGGACUGUCAUAGCUAUCGUCGCUAGCAUUUCACCCUCAUUCCAAUGCCAAACAUAUCAAUUUCUCCUCUCAAUCUACUCACCAUGACAAUCCACUCCUAUUGUUAUUGAUCUCUCCAUUAGUGGUACAUAAAUAAAGACAUUUGUUAAAAAAAUUAAUAAUAACAUGAUAAUUAAACUAAUAGUGAUUGUAUAGUACUAUAACAUGAACCCCAACAAAUAAGUAAUCUGUUGCAAUAAUUGAAUAAUAUGUUGCAAUAAGAGAGUGAUCUAUUGCAACAGAUGACUUACUUGUUGGAAUUCAUAUUACGGUACUAUAGAACAUUAAGUUGAUUCCAACAGAUGAGUCAUCUAUUGGAAUACGUGACUCAUUUGUUACAAUAGAUUAUCCAUCUGUUGUAAUAGAUGACUCACCUGUUGGGAUAGAUGUUACAGUGCUACAGAACCUUUAAACCUAAUUCCAAUAGAUAAGUGACCUGUUGCAAUAGAUCACUAACUUUUUACAAUAGAUGACUCACCUAUUGUAACAGAUGACUCAUCUAUUGGAAUCAACUUCACUUUCUAUAGUUUUGUAGCAUUAAUACUAAUAGGUGAGUCAUCUAUUGCAAUAGAUAACUCACCCGUUACAACAAAUGACUCAUCUGUUGGAAGCAACUUUAGGUUUUGUUGCAACAAGUGAGUAAUCCAUUUCAAUAGAUGACUCCUCUGUUACAAAAAAUAACUUUUUUGUUGUAAUAAAUGAACUAUCUAUUCAAUUCAUGUUUACAACACUAUAGAAUCAUAAACAUAAAUCCAACAUAUGAGUCUUUCGUUGCAACAAAUAACUUAUCUGUUGGAUUGAUGUUCGAGCUCCAUCCAUUGUUGAAAAAACAAUAAUAGAAGUGUACCCAACUGAGAAAUUAAAUUAAAAAUCAUAAUUUUACUUAACAAAGUCACAUAUGAAGCAAUGCCAAAAUGACAUAUGGAACAAAAUUUGACCUAAAAAAUUGGUUAAGUAACAGCAGUAGUGGUAACAACAAAUACAAUGGUCAACACGAAGAAGAUGAUGAUAAUAAAACAUAAGAUAAUGAAUAACGUAGUAGUAAUAAUGAACAAAAAACAUUGUGAAGAGGGAGAAGACAAUAAUAAAUGAGAAGAGAGAGAAACAUACAUUUUUUACCUCUGUUUCUAGUUAUGUUACGUUUUACACUAAAUCAAACUGUAAAUAAAAACUUGUUGUCUAUUCUCUAACUUCCCCUACUUUCUUAAUCCAUAAUAAUGUAAUUGUUGUUAAAAUUAAUCUAAAAGAGUAAUAAUAUGAAAGAAGAAGAAGAUAUAAGAAGACAAGACAAAAGAUUAGAGUUUUUCAUUCUUCCAAAUAUCUUAUGUACAAGUCUUUCAAGUGUAUACAAUAUGAAACCUUAUGCCUCUAUUUAUAUGUCAUAUAGAGGCAUGCAAAGGGUUGUCAUAAUCAUGGUAUUAAAUAAGAAUAUUAUGGGGGAGGUUAAGGGUGUGAGAGUUACACCCAUAAUAGUGUGUGGAGUACUGGAGGAUUAACUACACAUUAUGGAGAAGAUGGAUGGGAGUGACUUAAUUCCUAAGAGUUAUGGGCAUCCACCAUGAAUAUAUUAUUUUAUGACAUUCCUCCUUGGAUGUCCAUAGAUGAUGUGUAUCAUUAAAACCUUACUAGGAAAAAAAACCUAUGGGAAAAAAUCUGUAGUGAAGGAAAAAGAGAUCACAUAUCUUAUAAUACACAUUUGUUUGCUGCCUCGUUAAAAACCUUGCCAAGAAAACCCAUUGGGACAAAAUCUAGACCAAAGAAAAAGAGUCCAGUACGUAUUUUGCUCCCCUAAUGCAAACGUCAUUUCACUUCUCAAAGACUCCGCCUUCAAUCUUAUAUGUGAGCUUUAAAAUGUUGAUUUUCAUUAUGCCUUUGUGAUCAAAACACAUUCAUGAAGAUGUUGCAUUCUUGAACUCAUCCUGAUAUAUCAUUUUCUUGCUUCUUAGAUAUGUUAAACCUAUGAACUCAGCCAAAUAAAUUCUUGACAAUUACUUUAUUUGUAACCUCAUCGUCGUAAGUCAUUUUCACAUUGAACUUGUUCAUAGCAGCGGCCAACUGGUUGUGAACUUUUUCAUUUUAAAUUGACUGCAGAACAAAUAUUCUUCCUACAUUUGCAUAAUCAACAAUAUUUUGGCAAUAUUUAUUAGAAAUAAUAAAUUUAUAUCAAUAAUAUUUGAUUUUAAUCACAUUCACAUAAAAGUAAAAUUAUAUCUUUCUACAAACUAAUAAAAAUUAUUAUCUCAUGUAUAGAAUAGUAGGAUACAUAAGUGCAAUAAUUGCACUAAUACAUGGUAUUUUCUAACUAUUUCAUGAGAUAAAAAUUGAUCUUUCUUUAUGAUAAGUGAUUAUGCAACCAUUGAGAUAUUCAAUGGAUUGAAUCUCUUUUAAAUCCUUUAAGAAUUUUCCUAUAACAUUUUCAUCUAGCUAGACAUGAUAGUCAUUCCUUAUAUGUGUUCAAGAUUUUCAUACAUUGCCAGAUUUAAAGAAACCUUAUUGCAUCCACUAUAGGAGAACACAUCUCCAAACAAUUAUGUCAGUACUUUGCGAAUAAUCUUUAUGCCUCAAGGCACAAGUAGCAUUUUAUAUCUUACGAUUUUACUUUUCGCACAAUCACUUAUUUGUAUCCCACUAACAUUAUACCUCAGUCUAUGGACUAAUUUCAAAUUAUCACUUUUCAAGUGAAAUAUAAUAAACUUGAAUUGCGUACUUUAUCUAUCCAUACUAUUCGAUAGAUUUAAAUUCAAGAUUCUCAUUACCAUUUAUAAUGGUGAGCUCUAUGUUAUACCAAAAUACCAUUGAUGGUUAUUUGAUAUCGAUUCCAUUACGACCUAACAUAUCAAGAUAGAUCUCUUAUUUUUCACCAUUUUCAGGUACCUGAACUUUUCCAAGAUUUUAUGAAGAGUUAUGUCAUAGUGAUUUUAAAGCACUUGCCUCAUUAUCAUUGACCAUAUUUAUCAUUUUCUCCCUCCUUAUUCAAGGAAUUCUAUGUUUUGAACCGAUUUGUCAGUCAUGCUUCAGGCGUGCCAUAGACUCUGUCCUUCAAGGACUUUUCAUUGGAGCAUUUAUAGCUGAUUUAUAAUAUAGGUACAAUCUGGAAAUGAACUUUCAACAUUUUGCAAAUCCUGAAUUAGCAAUUGAACUUCAAGUUCACUAUUUUUUACGAGGAUCUUGAUAAUUCAUUCCAUACAUUUCAACUAUUAAUCAUAUCUCCCCCUAAUGUUAGGAAAUCUAACAUUCACCGAAUCUUAUUUGGGGAUCCAUCUUUGUGUGUGGUGGAUAUUUCACAUUCAAGUUAUUUAGAUGGAUUUUAAUAGGUUCUUGACCUUGAACCAAUAAUACAGGGGAACCUUGUUGGCUUGAUGCAUACAAAUGUUGCUACAUUUAAAUAAAAUCAUCUUAUACCAAAUUUUCUUUUAGGGAGAUUUGUUCUCAUAAUUAAUGAUUAAGCUAUAAUUGGAGGUACACAAUUUUCUGCUAAACUAAUCAAUAUAUCAACUUGUAUAGUUUGGAACCAUGAUCUCAAUUUUAACAAUUUGAACAAACAACCUUGCAAAAAUCAAAUUGCAAGUUGAUAUUAGCGCAUAUGACCGACCAUAAAUGCAUCUCACUUAAUAGUAAAUAGUCUACAUGAUAGGGGAAUGGGCCCAUAUUCACCUUGUUGCAUGUUCCAAAAAUUUAAAAGACACAAUCGUAACUUUAGCUGGUAUGAUAUUGUAUCAUGAGAACAAGAAACAUAAGAGAAUUCUUGAAGAACAUUUUAUUUCUUCAAUAUAAAACCGCAUGAAUUCUCAAUUAUUUUCGCAUCACAUUUGAAUUAGGAUGGUCAACCGUUCAUGCCAACUUAUUUGUAAACUUUUAGUUUACUACAGCAUGUGAUUCCGUCACAGUGCCCAUAUAUUUAUAUCAGUAAAUAGGUGAAAAACGGGUAGCCUUUUUCAUAAAUAUUUAUAACCUAUUACGAUUGUAGAAAUAUGAAGAUACAAAUUUUUUUCAUAAUUUACAAUCUCAAUAUAAUAAUAAUAAUUUUUUUCUCAAUUCCCUUGAAACUUAAAAAGUUUAUUUUGGAGACUUACUACAAUUUCAAUGACCUAAAUAAUUUCCAUUCCUUCUAGUAGUAACACUUUAGUUUUUCGAGGGUAUCAAAUACUUGUGCACUACUUCAUAUUCCAAAUCACCAUUCAUAUCGUGACCAUCUCCUUUUCGAAAGAAAAUUUUAGUCAUUGUAGUCAAAAUUAUUAUAUGCAAGACCUCCUUCUUGCUUUACUUUUGCCUUUAAUAAUUUAUUUCCAUAACAUUUGGCAAAGUCCUUUUUGGCGUAUCAUAUUUAUGCAAUCAAUGACAAAUUCAUUAGACCACACCAUAAUCAUUUUGGUCAUGGCCAAAAUCUUUAUAGACAAGAAUUACUUCUUGAUUUUACCCUUUGGUAGAUCAUGAUAAAACAUACUAUAGCAUCAAUGACCUUUUUAUACCAAAUUAAAAUUCUUUAUUUUCCUCAAACCUCCUAUAGAGGUGGGUUUUGGUAUUUAUCCAACCAUAUAUAUGCAUGUCUUUGUCCGUGAUUUUCAUUAUAUGUUGACACAUUUACUUUUAUUAAUGGUCGAGCAUCCACCAUAUUUAUCACCAGUCACAUUCUCUUCAAUAAUUAGAUUAUAAUCACAUGUGCUUCAUAAUUUAUUUUAUAAGUUUAUUUUCAUGCCUUGACAUUUAUCAUAUUUUAUACCCACCUCAACAUCACUUUGAAAGACCAAGUGUAUCUUCACUUUUGUUCUUUUCUCUUUUGAUGGAGGAUUUAUAAAACCUAUUAAAUUAGGUUGCACAACAACCGUGUGCCCAUUGCCUUUCAUACUAAAUUGAUGGUGAACAAAAAAAUUACCUUCAUCUUUUUGAAGAUAAUUUGGAAAACCCGUAGUUCUCUUCCUUUAUUAUUAUCAAAAUGAUGACUAUUAUAACUUUGUUACUCCAUGUCCACAUGCAUUUUUAAUCACUUGUCUUCUUUCAGACUUAUAUGCACUGCUACCAUAUUCAUAUAAAAAAAUAGAGCAAAACUAUGUGGUGGAUUACAUGACUUUCAUCAAAGUACAUUAUUUUUGUCUUAGUCAUCAAUAUUGUUACUAUGGUGAAUUAGGACAUACACCCAAUGUCUUACCCAUAUGUAUCCAUGUUAGGCCAUAACUUCGUGGGACUUAAAUCCAAUAUUUUAUCAUAUGCUUGAUACAUCAAGACUUUAAUCCAAUGUCUUAUCCUUUUGUUACGAUGGAACUUGAAUUCACCAUCUUACAAUUAACUAAUUAUAUAGUAGGCCGAGUACAAUAGACUCAUCCUUAAGCCUCUCAAAUUUAAUCUUAACAAUGCCAAUUGAUUCUUUAUUUAUAAAAUUUCUUGCAACACCUCAACAAUGUAAUUAAUGCGAUUAAAUCUAAUUCAUAUGAACCAAUUAAAAUAAUUAUUCUACACUAUAACUCUAUAUAAGUAAUAGACUUAAUGUUUACCAAACGUUGGUAUCAAGAUAAUAGUUUGUAUUUCAAAGAAAAAUAAAUAGUCACAUUCACAAAAAAUAAAUAUUAAAUAAAUAGUCACAUUCACAAAAAAUAAAUAUUAGUAAUACAUUAAGAUCCCACAACAUAUUACUCCUUGAUAUUCAAGCUAGUUCUAAUACAAAAUUCUUUUAAUAUGAGAAAUAGAAUAGUUAGUGUAUAAAGCAUGCAUACUGUUUGCAUUUGAUUAGGUAAUAUAACACCCAAAAUAUACAAAUAGUAGGCCUCUAAAAUCAAAUUCAUAACUAUGCACAUCAAUAUAGAUAAUUUUAAGAAAGCGUACCAAACAUCAAAUUAGUCACCACUUACACAAUCAAAUCGACCUCAAUUCGAAGAUGAUAUUGAGAUGAAAAUUAGAUACUUGUGCUGAUAACAUGUUAAAAUUAAUCUAAAAGAGUAGUAAUAUAAAAGAAUAAGUAGAUAUAAGAAGACAAGACAAAAGAUUAGAGCUUUUCAUUCUUUCAAAUAUCAAAUGUACAAGUCUUUCAAGUGUUUCAAUUCUUCAAGUGUAUACAAUAUGAACCCUUAUGCCUCUAUUUAUAAUGUUAUAUAGAGGCAUACAAAAGGUUGUCAUAAUCAUGGUUUUAAACAAGAAAAUUAUGGGGGAGGUUAAGGGUGUGAGAGUUACACCCAUAAUGGUGUGUGGAGUAAUGGAGGAUUAACUAUACAUUAUGGUGAAUAUGGAUGAGCGUGACUUAAUUCCUUAGAUUUAUGGAUAUCCACCAUAAAUAAAUUAUUUUAUAACAAUUUUCACCUACACUUAGUUAUUAAAACUUGAGUCACCUACACCUCAUUUUUAAACUCUUUUGUCACUUUUAACUCAAUUUCCCUGUAACUAUUUAUACAAUAUCGAUAUAUUUAACUAUUUAUAUUAUUGAUACAUUACAUAACUAUUUAUACAAUAUCUAUACAUUACAUAUACACUUCAUAACUAUUUGUACAUACAUCAUUUAUGUAAUAUACAUGAAAAAAAAUUUCACAAAAAAGUUUAAUUUUUAAAAUAACUGCAUGAAAAAAAAAAGAAAAAGGAAUUAAAAAAAUUGGCGAUUUUAAUUGUAAACUUUUUAAUUUUUUGUACAUAAAUGAAAGUCUACCUUCUAAAUGUAUAUCUCAUUUUAAUGAGAAUUUGUGUCGUGCAUAAGUCCUUUAUGGAUUUCUCUAGUCCAAUUCAGAAUUGAAUUUGAAAUUGUUAUAUUUCAGGGUAAACUGCAUAAAUUCCAACAGUUUAAAGCUUAAUUAAAGAAAAUUCCAACAAUUUACAUAAUGUACACCCAGGUUCUUAAACUCUAGGCCCUCUAGGAGAUAAACUACUGAAUUAGCUAAUUUCUAAAGUAAAGUCAAAACUGCCAUGACAACGGCUCAGGUAACAAGUCGUUAUCUCACUAACGAGUUGUUAUGUGGGACUCUUUGACAUGGUAUUAAGGUAUCUAAGGUUCAGUCCCCUGACAAUAAGUCCAGGGUAUAAUCAUUAGGUCGGGUAAUGGGCAAUUAGGUGAGACUCGUUACCUUAACAAUGAAGGAUCAGGAUUUUCAUUCCCAAGUAAUGAGUCUAGGUAAUAAUUCAUGGUCAGACCUCAUGAGUCGUUACCCAGGUCGUCAUGACUGGUACUAGUUUUCUUGUAUGUUUAAUUAGGGUCCUUUUGGUCCUUUCCCUUCCUCCAUGACUUAAAACUCCCCAAUUAACCCCAUUACUUCAUUUAAUAAUAUCAAACAUUAUUCUUCUUAUAUUUAACUCCCAAGGCAAGGAACUACUAGGGUUUACAAGGAAUUCAACCUCUAGGUUUCGAAUUUUAAAUUUUCUUCAAUUUUUGUGGUAUCUCCGGCAUGUCUAUUAUCCCCAAACUUGUAUUUUACAUUAUGACAUACAAUUAUUCAAUAUUCAUAUGAUUUAAUGGUUGGGUUUGAAAUUGGAUUGAAAGUUUUCAAUUGCUUAUUACUAGAAUUGUUUCCUAUGUUUUGUAUGUGUCGUCUAUGCUUUGAAUAAUGGUUUUGGGGACUGAAUAGGGGAUUUUUUUUAGGAUGGGGAGGGGGAACAUGGGUUUCCCCAAAUUGUUUAAUUUUGGCUUGAAAUUUCCAUUAAUAUCAAGCCACCUAAUAAAUUUGGUUUUGAACAUGGAUAUAUGCAUAAUUCAACUUGUCGUUUAAACCAUUGAGUUACAUUAAAGGAUAAAUAGAUAAAAAUGGAUUUGAAAGGCCCAUGGUGGCCAUGGUUUUGGAUUUAAAUGGAACUUGAAAGUCUAAUGGUUACAUGGAUUGAUUUUGCAUAAUUAUAUAAGCUUGCAAGCAUAAUUGGUAUGAAGAUACCCCAUUAGAAAAUGCCAAUAUAAGAGUCCUUGGUUAAUGGUUGGGUUUAUGUGCAAAUUGUUUAAUUUGGACUUAAAAGAAAUUGUGUAGCUCACCAUGAAGGUGUAAAUUCUAGAGGAAUAAACAUUGAAAACCAUGUUUUUUGGUUUUAGGGGUCUAUAUGAUCAUGUUCUUGGUGCAAUCUUGGUAUAAAUGUAUAUAUAUAUAUAUAUGUAUAUAUAUAUUGGGAUGCUUAUUUUCUUGUUGGCUUUAGCUUUUCCUUGGUUUUUCCUCAAUUUGUACAACUAACAUGCACUGUGUCCUUUCAGCAAGGGGAGCUAAAGUACCUUUAGGGUGGAGUGAGCUAUAUAGUUCAAGGUAAUAUUUUGAACUGACAUGUUAAUUGACCAUUGUUCCUAUCGCAACAUCCUAUAUAUGUAUAUAUAAAGGUUUGUGCAUGUGGUUUUGGCUGAUUUUUGGCAUUGGCAUUACUUUUAUCAUUUUUCCUGAGUUACAUGUCAGUGUUUUUGCCACUGACCAUCCCCAAACACUGCAUCAUUUAAUGAUUUAGGGUUUGAGGGCUUUUUUAUUACUCUUAUGUAACAUUAGGUAAUUCAGUACGUUCAUUAAGUUGUUGUGAAAUGGUGAGCCUCCAUCUUUUGGAAGGCCUUUCUAUUUUAUUAGGCUUUUUUUUUUCAUAUUUUUGGAAUUAUGACUAUCAUAGUUGGGGGCAUGUCCCAACUUUUGUGGUAUUCUUAGUUUAGAGGCUUUGUGGACAAGUGAGGGUUGGAUUGUUGUUUGACUUUUAACAUUUUCUUUUGACUUAUUUAUCCUUAUUUCUAUUUUAGUUACUUUCACUGUUUAUUAUCAUUAUUAUUGUGCCUUUUAGGUAAGGCUAAGGGGGUUGUCUCUAACCCAUGGUGGGUUUGAGAUACCUGUCAUGAAUAGACCCUGGUUUGGGCUGUGACAAGCUUGGUAUAAGAGCCCAGUUUAGGAUCAUUAGGUAUCUAAAAAUUUGUGUCGAGUAGAGUCUCUUUUAUGGAUAUAUAGCAUGCCACACUAAUAAGGGGGAGGUUAUAAGGCAUUUAGGAAUGCUUUCCUUUCUUAUAUUUUAUAUCGGGCUAUAGAGUCUAGUUACAUUGAAUUUUUUCUAACUCCUGGCUAACUUUCAUUUUAGAUCAUGCCUCCCUGAAGAUUUGACAGUCGUAGAAACUCUAUUUGACCCUCUAUCCUACCUGAAGGAAAAUAUAGAGGGAACUUGCCCUAUUUAUGGAGUGCAGACUUGGUCAAGGGACCCUUGUCCUUAUUGUACUACUCCACUUGUAGUUCAACUGGUUGUUACUGGCCCUCUUUAGGCUGGCGAUACUCAUGCUCUAUCUCCUCAGAAAGAUAUCUCUAAUGCAGAGUUUUGAUAGUUUAUUCAUCAGCUUGACCAACUUGUGGCAUCUAAGUGCCGUCAGUUUGAUCGCGUUGGUCCUGUUGGUAGUUCAUAUGAUUUUACUCAGGUUUGAUAGUUUAUGAGGUUAAAUCCCCCACUUUUACAGACUCUAAGGUUGAGGACGAUCCUUAGAGGUUUAUUGAUGAUAUGGAAAAGAUCUUUAGGGUGAUGCAUGCUAUUAAUUCUGAAGGUAUAGAUUUUGUUGCAUAUCAGUUGAUUGAUAUGGCUUCUCAGUGGUAUGAGGAGUGAGAAUAAAUAAGAGAUGAUAAUGUUAAGCAGACAAUAUGGGAUGAUUAUUUAGGUACUUUCCUGGAUCACUACUUUCCUCAGGAGUUAAGAGAAGCUAAGAUGAAGAGUUUGUUAACCUGAUGCAGGGUAAGAUGAGUGUAAAUGAGUAUGCCCUGAAAUUUUAGUAGUUUUUUUUUCUUGUUAUACUCUAGAGUUGGUAUCUAAUAUGAGGACCCAAAUGAGAAAGUUUUCUUCUUGUUUGUCUCAUGACUUGGUGUUGGAGUGUAAGGAUGCUUUAUUGAAUAAUGAUAUGGACAUCUCCAGGUUGGUGGUCUAUAUGUAAUAAGUAGAGGAUGAGAAAAAAAUAGGUAGAGAUAAGAGGGAGGAAGAGCAAGAGAUUUAGAUAUUUAGAGCACGGUGCAAGCUAGUAGAAUAGUGGGGGGAUUGUAGGCAGUGGACUAAGAAGAAGAAUUGGGAAAGUUCUUAUUCGAUGGCUAGUGCUCCUUAUACUAAGCCUUUAGGUGAUCAUUAUUUUUAGGCUAGCAGUGGUCCUAAGGCACAGGGUACCCAGUCCAGGGUAGUGGAGCUUAAUCAUCCUCACCUUACCCUUUAUGCUGAUUUUGUAAGCAGCUCCAUGAUGAUGCUCAACUUACUCCCAUGUUAAAGAGGUAAGGUAGUCAUUGUCAAUAUCCCAACUGGCAUUGUGGUCAAAUCAACAAGGAGUGAAAUUCAAAUUUCAAGUCCUAUGGGUGGUUUAAUUACUAAAAGGAUACCCAAAAUGCAACAAAAAUAAUAUUUAAAAUAAAAUUGGGGGGGGGAGGGGGGAAGGGGUUUGUUUGGAGUUUUUUUAUAACAAUCUUCAGUCAAACAACACAUUAGUAUAGCACUUUUGAUUUAAAAUCAUGUUUAGAGGUAAUCUUGGGAUUAUGCCUACCUAAAAGUAAAGAGCAUGUGGGUUAAUGAUGGUUUAACAUAAAUAUUAAUUGUUAAGUGAGAGAUAGGCUGGGUUGAAGGUCUUUCUUGUUAGUCUUUCAACAAAACCACAAAGAUGUCACCCAUUGGCUCUUUUGAGCACCUAAUGAGUGUGUCAUUCAUAGUCACCAAAACCUCAAUUUGACAUCCCUAUUUCUAGUAAAUUCCUAUGAUAUGACUUCCACUCCAUUUAAACUUAUGUCUAAAUUGUAAAAGGUAGUAAACCGUAUACUUACUUGUUCACCAUUUCAUCCCCCUAUAGCCCUCUUUCAAGGAUGUUAUGGGCUCCCAUAUAUUUACCUUCAUCCCUCUUUUAAGAAUGAUAGAGGGUUUCUAGAGUUUGGGAUUUUUAGCCAUCAAACCCAUUUAGAGAUUUGGAGUUUUCACCUACAAAUUCUAACUAUUUGGCUUAAGAAAUGGUGGAAUCCAUACUUAACAACUAAAAAUCAUGAAAACACAACAACACCCAUACACAAUUACAUUUUAGUUCAACAUAAUCCCAAGACUAAAUUAUUUAGCUACUUAUAAAAAAAGUAGAGAAAGAUAUACCAUAAGGACUAUCCAAAGCAUCCAUCCUUCACAAAACACUAAGAAUUUAAGUCUCCAAAAUUAGUUAAAAUCUUGCCUAGUUAGGGAUAUUGUUUCAAUAUCGAAAGAGUCUAUCAAGUAAGAAAUACCCAAAGAAGAAAGGGUUUUUGCCUAUAUAAGGUUUAGCAUUCGACCAUGAAAUAUUACAAAACUACCCUGUACAAUAUUCCCGCUUAGUCGCGAUCACAUGAGGUUGUUUGUGAAUGCAGUAUGGUUCUGCGAUCGCAUUUUAUUAACCAUCUUGACUGACUAUAUCCACAGACUUUGGCCCGCAAUCGCAGUAACUGGGAAUGAUGACUGCUCCAGGUUUUCAGCUGCACUUCUUUUCUUCCACUUGAUCUCUUUUAGCUUCAAUCUACAUCUUUUCAUCUCACCAACUCCAUGCCAGCAAAAUAUGGAUAUUAGUGCAUUAAAUUAUGAUUAUUUCUCAUUUAUUUAUACAAAACUUGGUAGUGUGCAUGGAAGUUUAGUGCAAAUAAGUGGUAAAAUCACCACUCAUCACUCCACCAUGGAUAUUGUGAGGAGAGAAGAAACCAAUGCAUUAAUUAUGGCCAGCUUAGUCAUAUGCAUUGAGAUUGUCCUUUGACCAGAGUUUCCACUAAAGCUAAUAAGGUCCAGGUUGUCACUUUUUUGGAUCCUGCGCAUAAGGGCGCUACUUCAGGUACCGGUACUGGCUAGAAUCAUCUCUAUGCUCUUUCUACUCGCCAAGAAUCUGAGGCAUCCCCUGAUGUUGUCACUGGUUACAACUCUUCUCUUAUAAUGCUUAUUUUUUUCUUUAUUUGAUUCUACCAUAUCUUAUAAGGUCCUUAAUGUGGCCGUGCACUUUGGUUUUGGUCUCAAAAAUAUUUUCGAUCCCUUUUUUAUGUCUACUCUGAUGGGUGAUUCUAUUAAUUAUAGAAAAAUCAUAGGGGUUGUGUGAUGUUUAUCUUUCAUAGGGAUGCAUUGGUAGAUUUAAUAGAACUUAACAUAGUAGAUUUCGAUGUAAUCUUGGGGAUAGAUUGACUUUAUUUAUGAUAUGCUUAUCUAGAUAGUAGGACCCAAAGGUUAGUUUUUACUUUCCAAAUGAAUCAAUAUUAGAAUGGGAGGGGAGCUCCUUAGUAUCCAAAAAGAGGUUUAUUUUCUACCCUAGAGCUCCAAAAUUAAUUUCUAAAGAGUGUCUAUAUCAUCUAUUUUGGAUUAAGGAUUAUUACUCUGAAAGACCUUCUCUUCAAUAUGUUAUUUAUGGUUAAUGAAUUUCCUGAAUUUUUUCCUGAUGGUCUUCGAAAAAUUCCUCCUGAUAGAGAGAUAGAUUUUGGCAUUUAUCUUCUAUUGGAUACCCAUCCUAAUUCUAUUCCUCCUUAUAGAAUGACUCCUAAUGAGCUAAAGGAACUUAAGGAACAGUUGAAAGAUCUUCUUGAUAAGGGUUUCAUCUAUCCUAGUAUUUCUCUGUAGGAUGCCCCUAUACUUUUUGUGCAAAAGAAAGAUGGGUCUCUUCGGAUGUGUAUAACUAUCAUCAGUUUAAUAAGGUUAUAGUGAAGAAUAAGUUUCCUCUUCCUAGGAUUGAUAACCUAUUUGACUAAUUUUAGGGUGCUAGGGGUUUUUCAAAUAUUUAUCUCCAUUUAGUCUAUCAUCAAUUUAAAAUUUAGGAGGUUGAUAUUUCCAAGAGUGCUUUUCAAACUCGGUAUGGAUAUUAAGAGUUUUUGGUUAUACCAUUUGGGGAUAGCUAAUGCUCUUGCUAGUUUUAUAAAACUUAUGAAUAGGGUGUUUAAGAAGUUUUUAAAUUUGUUUGUUAAAGUCUUCUUUGAUGAUAUUUUAGUGUACUCUAAAAGUAAGGAGGAUUAUGCCAAUCAUCUCCAAAUUGUGUUACAGACUCAUAAGGAUCGAACAUUGUAUGCAAAAUUUUCUAAGUGUGAAUUUUGGUUAAGUGUUGUGACCUUUCUCAAGCAUAUUCUUUCUAGUGAAGGGAUCAAGGUGGAUCCACAGAAAGUUACGGCAGUUAAGAAGUUGCCUCAACUCACGACUACAACCGACAUUAAGAGCUUCUUGGGCUUGGAUAGUAAUUAUAAGAGGUUUGUAAAGAGUUUCUCAUCUAUUGCUUCUUUGCUGAUGAAGCUAAAUCAGAACAAGGUUAAGUUCUUAUUGUCCAACGCUUGUGAGGGUAGUUUUUAGAAGCUUAAGGAUAAGUUGACUUCUAUGCAAAUUUUGACCCUGCCUAAAAGUAUAGAUGGAUUUGUUAUGCAUUAUGAUUUAUCCUGUAUAGGACUAGGUUGUGUUUUGAUGCAAAUUGGUCAGGUUGUAGCCUAUGCUUCCAGGUAGCUUAAGGUUUAUGAAAGAAAUUACCCGAUCACCAUCUAGUGUUAGCAACUAUGGUUUUUUCUUUGAACAUUUGGCAUAAUUCUUUAUUUAGAUCAUAAGAGCUUAUAGUAUGUAUUUAUUUAUAAGGAACUAAAUCUUAGGUAGAGACAGUGGCUCAAAUUACUUAAAUAUUAUGAAAUUAAUUUGCACUACCACCCUGGUAAAACUAAUAUUAUUACUGAUGCUCUUAGCAAGUUGUCUAUGGGGAGCUUAUCUCACGUUGAUAAGGGGAAAAAAAGAUUGGUUAAGGAUAUUCAUAGGUUGGAAAAUUUAGGAAUUCAUCUCUUAGACUCUAAGGAUAGAGGAGUGAUUAUUUAAGAGGUGGUUAAAUCAUCUCUUGGUAUGAAGAAGAAGGAGAAACAUGAUUUAGAUCCCAUACUCAUACAUAUUAAGGAUGAUGUGGGUUAGCAAAAGGUUAUGGCUUUUGAGAUUAGGGGAAAUGGCAUUCUAAGGUAUCAAGAAAGGUUAUAUGUUCCUAAUGUUGACGGGCUACAGGAAAUGAUUUUAACUGAGGCGCAUGAGUCUAGAUACACAGUUUAUUUGGGUUUGACUAAGAUAUACCAUAAAGAGAGAUGUGUCGGGCUUCUUGACUAAAUGUAUGGUUUGUUUGCAAGUCAAGAUUGAGCAUUUGAGGCCUGGUGGCAUAUCUCAAGAGAUAGAGUUGCCCUUAUGGAAAUAGGAGAUGAUCAAUAUGGAUUUUAUUAGGGUUUUCCACAAUCUGGUAACCAGUAUGAUUAUAUUUGUGUCACUAUGGAUAGAAUAACUAAGUCUACUCAUUUCUUGUAUGUGAGGACUAAUCACUCAAAAGGAUAUUGUAUUAACUGUUUAUUUAGGAGAUAGUUAAGUUGCAUAGGGUAUUGGUGUCCAUCAUUCAGAUCAAAGUACUCAGUUGAAACACCCUGGGUUUAGUCCUUUAGAUAAUUUCUUGGAUUUAUAGGUUAUGGACUUCAUACGACUAGUGGGUACCAGUCGUAUGAUGGGGUACGAUUGGUAUGCUUUUAGUCGUAUACUAACUUAUGUUGUUGGUAGGUUGGAUUAGUUUCUGGAAUUGAUACGACUUAGGUAACUAUGAGUCAUAUGGUUGGUAACAAUUCAUAUGGUUUGAUUUUUCCUUAACUUAAUCAGAGACUUAGUAACUUAACUAGGAUCUGAGCAUGAGUGGCUCAGCAUGAGUUGUAAGCUAGGGUAUGAGUCAUACCAUUGACUCAUAUGGUAUAUAGUGUUGAAACUUUCUUAGAUUCUAUUCUACCAGGGACACGAUUUAGGGGUACUGAUUUUAUGGUUUGGGUACGACUAGGUUUGGGUAAGUCAUAUAUUGGACAGUGUUGGAUCCAAUGAGGAGGCCUAGGAUACGAGUAUGGGGUACCACUCAUAUUGAAGGGUACAACUAGUAUGGAGGAGUCAUACAAUCUGACGGGAAUUUUAAGCAGUUUAAGUUGGGGGUAAUUUGGACAUUUCCCCACUUAACCUCUUAAGGCUCGACAACUUAUAUCACUAUAAGGACAUCAUUUACCUUAUUAUUCUAGUCUUAAACACUUUAAAAUACUCUCUAAUUCUCUCUAAGGCUCUUAGGUAAAUAAAAUAUAGGGUUUCAUCUAGAGGAUUAAUUUGGGGCUUGUACGGGUGAUUUCUCUCCAUAUCUUCGUAAGCUAAGGCAUGUACUCCUCACGCAUUGUUAGUUCUAACUAAAGUCAUGUUUUAUAAAAUGUUUUCAUGGAAUGAUUAUUAUAUGGUUUUGGGGUUUUCAAAUAUAUGUUGGGGUAUUUUUUAUUAAAUGUUUGGUUAUGGAUUUCCCAUGUUAUAAUUAAAAAAUUACAUGCUUUAAUGGUGGUUUGGACAUUUGGUUGCAUGGGAAUGGUUAAUUGGUAAUUGGAUUUGGUUUUGGAAAUACUAUGCUGCCAACAUGUUUGAUAAAAUGCCUAUGGGAAUGCUUUUACUAUAUUAUUGGACUUUUAUUGGAACUAUUGCAUGGUAUGGUUUGGUAAUGGAACCCUAAAUGUUAUAAAUAGUGUAAAUGGUUUGGAACGGGUAAAUGGUAAGGUUUGGUGGUCAUGGUUAUGGUUAAUUAAAUAUCCUUGUGGGGUACAAGAGAAUACCCCAAGUAAACAUGUUAAUGAACAAUUUGUGGGGUACAUGGGAUUCCCCCAAGCAAACAUAAUAAUGGAACACUUGAGGGGUACACGGGUUUCCCCAAGUUAACUUGAUAAUGUAAUCUAUGGGUACAUAGGAAUCCUUUUACCUAAAAAGGUUGGAUAAUGACAUUGCAUGCAAGCUAUAGUCGUUAUGAUGAUACCAUUACACAUAGACUUGGUUAAUAAUAAUGGAAUAAUGGUUUGGAUGGAUGGUAAUAAUUUUAAUUGGGAAUAAUGUUGGGGUAUGAUAGCUAACCGUGAAUAUGCGAGUCCAAUUGACGGACACUGGAAAAUCAUGUUUGCCAAUAUGAAGGAUGGUCAUAGCGACCAUAUAUGUACUAUAAGGUACAUGGGAAUUCUGUAAGUACACUAUACAUUUUUAUUAUGGAGAGCGAAAAGUACUUCAAAAUUUCCAACUCUUAUGGUAUCUCUGGUUAUGUGGCUACAUGCAUCAGGGCUCAUUUUGGGGUUUAAAAUGGACCCAUAUAACCCGUGGGUGGUUCUAGGACGGUGAACCUACACAUACCCAAAUUAAUGGUUUUUAAAUACAUACUAAACUCGGUUCCCUUUCCUGGCAUAGUUAUAUAUAUAUAUGUAUGGUUGUAUGCAUAUUGUUGGUUUCCUUAGUUUUAUUGGAUGUCAUUAUUUUAUCCUUAUCCUGAGUUCAUGCUAGCGUUCACCUGCAAACCUGUCUUCAGGCAGCUGUAUCCCCACGCGAUGCAGGAACUGGCCGUUCUACUCCUGCUUAGUGAUCGAAUUCGGGAUCACCUAUUGGAUUGAAGUCUGAGCUUUCAUAUUCAGGAAGGCUCCAUUUCAUAACAUGGAUGUAUUACAUACUUCGGUCAUUUUAUGGAUAUUAGUUUUGGCUAUAGUUGGGGGUAUGUCUCAACUGGAUACUGUUUUUCUUUUGGUUAGAGGCUUUGUGUGACUUCUAUGGGUUAGAAUAGGCAGUAUCGGUGUUGGUUUCAUCCUUCGUAUUGUCAUUGUUAUUGGGUCUGAUAUUGAUAGUUUGAAUUUAUGAUUGUUCCAUCCUUUUAUGUUUUGUUAUAGACAAGAACAUGGUUUUUAUAUUGGUUUGGUUAUGGUUGAUGGUUUGUAAUGGUUGGUUGGAAUUGUUUGGGUUGGUCACAAUUAUGGCCCUAUCCCAGAAUGGUAAUAAGUGAUAUCUUGUUAUACGUUGGGAAUUUAUUUGACUUAGGGUAUGUGUAUUUAGAUGUUGGGUUGGGUAAUGAGGGUAGUCCUCGGUUCUGGAUGGACUUGGGAUGCCCAUUAUGACAAGGCCCUAGUUCGGAUCGUGUCAUGUUAGUAUCAAAGCAUUAUGUUUAUGGUCAAUUUGGAGUCCAGAAAGCCAGGUUAAGUAGAAUUUCUUAUAAGGAUGUGUAGUUUGCCACACUAAUAGCACCCAUGCACACACGCAAGUGUACGUGGUCUAUCAAGUAAUAUAGUGGCCUUUAAGAAAGCCAAAUAUCGAUCCCACAGAGACUUGAUUUGGUAAUGAUUUAAUUUUAGUUCACCGUUUAGAUUAAUUUAGUACAAAAGUAACCAAAAAGAGAAUUUUGAAUUAUUUUGUAAAUUAAAAAUAAAAUAAAUAAUGCAAAAAUUAAAUUCUUGGAACAGUCAAUGGAGAAAAGCCCAGGGUUAAAGCACUCCGAACAAUCAUACUAUGUUAUUGAAUCUCAUCCGCUAAUUUGCUUAUCUUGGUUGUUGAUUCGUAUGGCUAAUUGCAUGAUCAUAGUUUCCUAACCUAUUAGCUUUUACCUAAUGUGGAUAUUACAACUACAUCAUUGAGCGGAGAUGUAAUAAUUCAAUUAAGUUAAUUAAAGCUAUCAUCCUACAUAUGAAUCAACCAAGGUAUCUAAGUACAUCCCUUUCCUAGACGCUAAGUUUAAUUUUUUAUUUUAUAAAAGAAUAAAAAUCCAAACUUUAUUUAUCUCAUGUUCUAUCUCCCUAUUUCCUCUCCUGAGAUUAAAAGGUCAAUAAUAUAUGUAUUAUGGGUGAUCAAUACAUAAAAUAAUUAAAACAAGAAUAAACAAACAACCAAAUAUAAUAAGCAAAGUUAACGAAAUUAAUCCAAAAUAAUAGUACUUAUGUUUUUGGCUUUAACCCCAGAAAGGGGGUUUUUAGCCACUAAUAUUCGUAAUCACGAUCUAAAUAAUUGAAUCCAUAAUCUGAAAAAUUAAAGACUAAAAAUAAAAUUAAAACCUUAUAAAUUGUGUAGCUGCUCCUCCGUAUUUUCUCCAAAACAGUGUCCUCGUGUGCCAUAUCCAGUGGUUCUUUAUAUUGUCUAGGUGUUGACCAAUCAUUAAUAUUGGUACCAGCUGUAUAUAUUUAUUAAUUCUUGUCCAAAAAGAUAUAUAUUAUUGUAUUUCUAUCCCAACUAAAAGUGGGAUUUGACAAUCACGUGGUCCCCUUUGAAAUCCGUGUAGACUUUGAAUUAAGAAUUGGACAAAGUCCAACUGUUGUCGGUGCAUUUUAAUAUCUAUGCAGGAAUUUUUGCAACACGACGCAUCACUCAGCAUGUUGGAACAUUGAUGCGAUGCGUUGACUUCGCGUCGUCUCAUUGAAAUUUGUGUUUAAAAAUUUGGUUAAGUGUGGAAUGUCUUAUCCUUUGCCUAUGUCUUUUGUAGUGUAUUUUCAAUGAAUUUCGAGCCUUGUUAUCAUCAAUAUAUCACCGUUUUCAUCUCACAAAGCAUCCUACAAUAUCAUACACCACAAUUCAAGAUCAAAACAACAAAAAAACAAGAGCUUGAAUAAGGCAAAUUCACAAUGAUCUUUUACUUAUUAUUCCGACUGUUUACUUAAUCAAAUUAAACUUUGCACAUUACAAACAAGUUAUUCCAUAUAAAAUUACGCCAUUAAAAUUAUUGGAAAAAAUUAAAAAUAUUAGAAUCCACCGAGAUCAACUAGACACACACCUAGCUCAAGCUAGUAAAACUAGUUUUCCGGGUUUAACUCUAAAUUACUCAAUUAAGCACAAACUUGUUUAAAAAAAUACCUUGGACAUUGUAAUCACAUACUUGGACACUUAAAUGCUUAUUUAUAUCAAUAUGAAUACGUUAAGCACUCAAAUUGCUCUCAAAAUAAGGCGAAGUAAACUAGAAUAAUGAUACCAAAGUGUAUCAAACACCUCAGAUCAUCACCCCACACUUAAACUCUUGUUCGUCCUCGAACAACUCUUCACUCUAAGCAUAAAAAUCUGAGGUGACGCUACACUUCUACUAAAUGCAAGGCACUCAAGCUAGUACUACAAUGACUACAAAGAAUGCAAGUUUCUAUACAAAGCAUGUUAUUUACACAAUUACAAGCUCAUGAACACUACUCCAAAACAUCCCAUCCUCAAGAAUUGACUCAUCUAAGUGGCGAACUCAUGCAUAUUGCUCAAUCAAAAACUUCAGACAAAUCACCCACAUUCAUCAAACAUAUGCCCUCACAAUAAGAGAGCUACCCAUAAUCACUCACAAUAAUGCGCUUUAUAACUUAAUGGGUACAAGAUCAAAUUAUGCUUACUCUCACAAAGAAUUCACCAGAUACACACAAUGAACCAUAGGCUUUCCCUUAGUGUAAUUCUCCACUAAUAGUUGAAUGUAAAGCUUAGGAUCAAUUAGGUUUUUUUUUGGGUUGUAAUGUAGGCUAAGGGAUGUAUAGGAACUAUUUGAGAAUAGUUACUAACCUCUCUAAUCUCUUUAAUACACUACAUUAAAUAAUUAUACCCAAUCUCCAACAACCAAAUUUCACUUUUUCAUCUACCCAUACCUUUUAUUUUUGCUCCAUCUCUUUUAAGCAUUUUCACAAACACUUGGUGGACGCAUAGUUUACUACCACAAGAAUCAAUUUUUCUCCUUUUUUCACAAUCAUGACAAUAUUUAUAGCAUAAAUCAUAUCACACCAAUCCACCACACAUCAAAUAUACACCAAUAAAUUUUUUUACCUUGGGGCAUCAAUUUCACCUUUUUCUUCUUCAAUUUCUCAAACUCCUUACUCAAUUAAUUUUUUUUCAAUUAAAGCACUUAGGAGAUUUUUUGGAUCAAAUCAUGGUCUAUCAAAGAAGGAAUUAGGCUAAUUAUGAAGGUACCCAAAUAAAAAUCUAAAGUCUCAAUGGGGUUAACUAGGAUAAUGCACAAGGGUAGUAAAAAGAAGGUAUAAAACAAGGCUAUCAAAAAAAAAUUCCUAAAUCAUCUCCUAAACCCACAUUCCUUAUUUUGCUUUACAUGCACACCGGGUAAGUUCUAGACAUCAUAUGCAACAAGGAAUAUACAAAAUACCUCACAUCACACAUGGCACAUGUUUGACACAUAGGAUUAUCAUAGACUCCCAACCACACAAUAGCAUGAAUUCAAAUUUAAGCCAAAAUGUACAAGAGUAAAAAACUUGAGCCUAAGAGUCUCAAAAAUAGCAAUUCACAUCAAUCAACAUGCUUUUACAAACAAACUCACUUGCAUCAUGUAAUCAAAAAUAGCACCAGUCAACAUUAUCUCAUAUAUUCCUAACCUAUUUUUUUUUUAAAUUGAGCCAAAAUUUGAUAAUUUCCUCACCUCAGACUUAAAAAUCUACUUUGUCUCCAAAGUGAAUUUGAAAGUAAAAAAAUAUAAAUACUCCCUGAGGACUCUAGACCUAGCUAGUAGCAUCUUCACAUAUAAAUGGGAUCCAUGUGACCCCACACUCAAUCUUUGUCAUGCUUCAAGCUCAAGUUUAUGGUACUCAGACUUCCUAUUAACUUGUGACUCAACCAAAAAUAAAAAAUAUGUUAAAUAAAACUAAAAAAAAAUUAAAAAGAAAGCAUACCUAAUUAACUUGUAUUGCCUCCCAAGAAGCGCCUGAUUUAGUGUCGUAACACAACCCAUGUCAACUCAACCAUAUUCCUUCACCAUUUUGCUCCCUUUUGGGAGCUAAUUUUUCUUUUGUUUCUUACCUCUUUUACCUUUUAACAUGUUGGGAAUUGGUGGUUUUAUUUGAGGCCGCUUAAUACGGUAUUUGGAAAAUAUCUUUAGUGGCUUAGGCACCCCACACUUAUCCCUUUCAAUCACAUUAAUCAUGCACAAAUCUUUAUAAAAGGGUUUUUUAAUAGGGGCUUGGUAAACAUCAAAUUCCACUUCUUCAUCAUCUACCCUCAUCUUGAGCAUGCCUUCUCUAACAUCAAUCAAAGGCCCUCUGAUCGCUAAGAAUGGGUGCCCUCAAAUAAUUGGUACCUGUUCAUCUACCAUAAAAUCAAGAAUAAGAAAUUCAACAAGAAUAACAAAUUUACAAACCUUUGUCAGGACAUCCUCAAUUAUUCCUUCUGAAUAUACCAUGGAACCGACUGCUAGCUAAAAAAUCAUGGUGGUCGAUCUAGGCUUUUCGAAGCCCAAAUUUUCAAAUAGAGAUAGGGGAAUUAAAUUUAUACUUGCCCCUUAAAUAACUCAAUGCAUGAACCUCUUUACUCCUAAUUUGAAUAGGGACGGCAAACCUCUAUUGAUCUUUCAAUUUCUUGAGGAUUUUCUAUGUCAUCAUCAUACUACACUCUUCAGUGAGUGUUAUAUCUCUCACAUCUUGCGAUUUCACCUUUUUGUCCACCAUAUCCCUCAAGUACUUUGCAGACUUAGGCAUACUCUACAAAAUAUCUAGCAAAGGUAGAUUAAUAUGCAACUCUUUCAAUGUGUGAAUGAAAUUUUUAAACAAUGCAUCCUCCUUCGCUUUUAUGUACUUUUGAGGAAAGGGAAAUGGUAACGUCUUUUUUUUUCUUUGGUUUCACAACUUUUUCAUUCAAGUACUCAGACUUUCUUGAAUUUUUAGCAACUUCUUCAUCCACCUUUUAGGUUACCACAUCAACAUCUAUCUCUUUUGUUGCCAUGAGAGGUUCUCCUUGAAGCUCUUUACCACUCUGCAAAGUGAUUACCAUGACUUGCUUGGGAUUUUUUGUAUCAACUGAAAAACUACCUUGUGGUCUAGCAUUUAACAUUUGUUGUAUCUGUCUAACCUGCAACUCUAAAUUUUUCUGCGUCACUUUUUGAUUUUGUAAUUUUGCCCUUUGAUUGUUCAGAUCCGCAAUCAAUUGUGUUUGACCAACUAAAAUUUGUUUAAAUAUCUCUUUCGAGUUGUUCGUAGACUAAUUCAAUUGGGCCUAUAGAUAUAAGGCAUUCUAUGGUUGAUUAGGUGGCUGAUAUUGCCACUUUAUGUUGUAGGCAUUACCGUAAUUUAGCCUGUGAGUAUUGCCUACAUACAUCACAGAUUAUGUAUUUAAAGCAGACAUGGCCAUUGAAUGGCCAUUAUUUCCACAUACCUCACAUCAACCUGCAGCUUGUUAGAUGGCAUUAACUAUGGUUAUAGGUGAUGAUGCUACUAACUUUAUGCUGCAGAAUGUUGUGUUAAUCAAAUUAUGCAAUGCAAAAACCUAUGAUGAUAAGGCUGUGAAUUGGUCCACCUACAAAACUCUUGAAAUUCUUUUUGUGCCACUUCUAGAAUCUGAAGGCCACUCUGAAUUUCCUUGUAUUAUGCGGUUCAGUACUGUGUACAGCUUAUCAUAAGUUUGCUCCAAUGCUUGACCACCUGCGGCUGAAUCUAGCAAAAUCUUUGUAUUGUGAUCAAGAACUUCUACAAAAGUGUGAGCAGUUAGCUCAUUCGACUGUUGGUAGUAUGGACAAUAUAGAAGAAGAGCCUUAAAGUAUUCCCAAGUAUGAUAGAGGUUUUCAUCAGGCUUCUGUUAGAAGCUUACUAUCUCACUACGCAGUCUUGCCUAUUAGAAUGAAUCUGAUGAGGAACCUUUUAGCUAACUCAUCCCAUGUUGUGAGUGAAUUGGCUGGCUCUGUACUCAACCACUUUUUAGCUUCCCCAAUAAGUGAAUAAGGAAACAGUGUCAGCCUUACAUAAUAUGGAGUCACCCCGGUUAAAGUGAAUGUGUCUGUAAGCUCAAUGAAGCUCUGCAAGUGGACUUGUGGAUCCUCAUUUGAAAGCCCUGCAAACAAUCCAUUGCUAAUAAGAAGCUGCACCAUAUUGUAUUUCAACUCAAAAUUCCUCCCCAGUUGCUAGUCUUUGAAUUGGGGAAGUCCAGUUCGUUGGAAGUAGGACUGCCACUUCCCUAACCUUCCUACUAGUUGUUUGUUGUUAUGCAGCCAUAGGAACAGUAUGCUCUUGGUCUUCUUGGAAUUGAAGAAUUUUGAGUAGAAGGAUCGCUUUUCUCCUAUGUUGAUGGUAAAGUUGCUCAGGUUUGGAGCUUGGUUCAACCAAGUCGUGAUCCCUUGUCAGCUUUCAACUUUGAAAAUAUAUUUCCUGUAAAAACAAAACCAAAACCAAGUGUAAAAUCUCCAAAUAAAUCUAAAAGUAAAACUAAAAUAAGCAAUUGCUAAAAUAACAAGUCCCCGACAAUGACGCCAAAAACUUCAUAGCACCCAAGCACACACGCAAGUGUACGUGGUCUACCAAAUAAUAUAGUGGACUUCAAUAAAGCCAAAUAUCGAUCCCACAGAGACUUGAUUUAGCAAUGAUUUAAUUUUAGUUCACCAUCUAGAUUAAUUUAUUGCAAAAGUAACCAAACAGAGAAUUGUGAAUUAUUUAGUAAAUUAAAAAUAAAAUAAAUAAUGCAAAAAUUAAAUUCUUGGAACAAUCAAUCUAGAAAAGCCUAGGGUUAAAGCACUCCAAACAAUCAUACUAUGUUAUUGAAUCUCAUAUGUUAAUUUGCUUAUCUUAGUUGUUGAUUCAUAGGGUUAAUUGCAUGAUCAUUAUUUGCCAACCUAUAAUCAUUUAACUAAUAUGGAUAUUACAAAUACAUCAUUGAGUGGGGAUGUAAUAAUCCAAUUAAGUUGAUUAAAGUUAUCAUCCUACGUAUGAAUCGAGUAAGGCAUCUAUGUACAUCCCUGUCCUACAUACUAAUUUAAUUAUUUAUUUUAUAAAAGAAUAAAAACUCAAACUUUAUUUAUUCCCAUGUUCUAUCUCCCUAUUACCUCUCCUGAGAUCAAAAGGUCGACAAUAUAUAUAUAUUUUAUGGCUGACCAAUCCAUAAAAUAAUUAAAACAAGAAUAAACAAAUAACCAAAUAUGAUAAGACAAAUUAAUUAAAUUAAUCAAAAAUAAUAGUACUCAUGUUCUUUGUUUUAAUCUCGAAAAAGAGAUUUUUAGCCAAUAAUAUUCGUAAUCACGAUUAAAAUAACUGAAUACAUAAUAUGAAAAAGUAAAGACUAUAAAUAAAAUUAAAACCUAAUAAUAUGUGUAACUGUUCCUCCGUAUUUUCUCCAAAAUAGUAUCCACCCCUCCUUGUGUGUCGUGUCUAGUGGCUCUUUUAUAUUGUCCAAGUGUUGACCAAUAAUUAAUAAUGGUACCAGAUGUACAUAUUUAUUAAUUCUUGUCCAAAAAGGUAUAUAUUAUUGUAUUUCUAUCGCAACUAAAAAUGUGAUUUGACAAUCACGUGGCCCCCUUUGAAAUCCGUGUAGACUUUGAAUUAAGAAUUGGACAAACUCCAACUGUUGUUAGUGCAUUUUAAUUCCUGUGCAGGAAUUUUCAUAACGUGACGUGUCGCUCAACUCGUUGGCACAUCGAUGUGAUGCAUUGGCUUUGCGUCAUCUCACUUGAAUUUGUAUUCAAAAAUUUAGUUAAGUGUGGAACAUCCUAUCCUUUGCCCAUACCUUUUCUAAUGUAUUUCCAAUGAAUUUCAAGCCUUUUUAUCAUAAAUAUAUCACCAUAUUCACCUCACAAAGACUUUUACAUUAUCAUACACCAUAAUUCCAAAUCAAAACAACACAAUAACCUCAAUGAUAAAUCAAAACAAGAGCUUGGAUAAAGCAAAUUCGCAAUGAUCUUCCACUUGUUAUUUCGACUGUUGACUUAACCAAAUUAAAUUUUGCACAUUACAAAUAAGUUAUUCCAUAUAAAAUUACACCAUUUAAAUAUUUGGAAUAAAUUAAACACAUUAGAAUCCACUGAGAUCAACUAGACACACACCUAGCUCAAGCUAGUAAAGCUAGUUUUCUGGGUUAAACUCUAAAUUACUCAAAUAAGCACAAACGUGUUUUAAAAAAUACCUUGGACAUUGUAAUAACAUGCUUGGAUACUUAAAUGCUUAUUUAUAUUAAUAUAAACACAUUAAGCACUCAAACUGCUCUUAAAACAAGACAAAAUAAGCUAGAAUAAUUAUACCAAAGUGUAUAAAAUCACUUUAGACCACACACUCAUAAGGAAGAGGAUUCAAGGCAUUUAGGAAUGUUUCACUUUCUUGGUAUUUUAUUUUAAAUCUUGAAGUAUAAGUUCUGGAAUCUUCUCUAAUCCUAGUCUGUUGGCUUUUCAUAUCAUGCCUCGAUGAUCUAAGAUGCAAAGUAACUCUUUUGUCCUAAAUGGGGACAACGUUAAAGGGAAAUGUACUACUCAGGUAAUCUAUAAUCGAUCUAGGGGUCCAGUCCCUAAUAUUUAUGGAGUUUCAUUGGUUCCUUCCAGUCCUCUUUAGGGUAAGGUAAUGAAUGCAGAAUUUUGUCAAUUGAUUUAUAUUAUUACUUAUUUGGUUGUUGUUCAGGAUAAGCAGGAUGCAUCUGGUGUUUCAUCGACUAAGGCCACAAGGGUUGGCCAAUUUAUGAAGAUGAAUUUUCCUACUUUUACUCAUGUGAAGGUGGAGGAGGAUUCUCAGGAUUUCUUGGAUAAGAUGGAGAAAAUCUUUAGGGUGAUACAGGAUGAAAAUAUGGAUGGGGUGAAUUUUGCUUCUUACCAGCUUAAGGAUGUGGCGUACUAAUGCUAGGAGGAGUAGGAUAGGGUGAGAGGUGAUGUUAAAGAGUUAACUUUAUAGGACACUUUCUCUAAUACUUUUCUAGACUGCUUGUUUCCUCUAGAGUUUAGGGAAGCAAAAAUAGAGGAAUUUGUCAAUUUGAGAUAAGGGAAGGUGUCUGUCAAGGAAUAUGCAUUGAAAUUUCAUCAGCUAUCAAGGUAUGCUCUAGAAUUGGUGUCUGAUAUGAGGGCAAGGAUGGGAAAGGUCACUUCAAGACUGUAUUAGGAUUUUAUCCUUAAAACCAAGACUGCAUUACUGAUCAAAGAUAUGGAUAUUUCUAGGUUGAUGGUUUAUAUACAAUAGGUGGAGGAGGAAAAAAAAGAAGAAGGCAGAGUUUGGGAAAAGGCAAGGUAAGAAGUUUAGGUCAUUUAAAUAUGGUGGUGCUCAAUAGAAAGGCAGUCAAGAUAGUGGUAUAUCGCUAAAAAAAAGUGGGGAAGUUCUGGUUCCUUCUCUAUAGCUAUUGCUCCUUGCCCGAAAUAGUCGAGUGAUAGGCGUCAGCACGGUGGUGAUAUUUUUUGGGUACAAGGGGCAUAAUCUUAGGCAAGUGGGGCUCAGUUGGCCUCAUUAUGCCCUUCAUAUCAGUUUUGUGUUAGGUUGUAUAGGGUUUCUGUGAUUAAAAAAGGGACAGAUGUUUCAAAUAUAGUCAGCCAGGCCAUAUGCUCAGAAAUUAUUUGGUUAGUAAGGGUGCUUCGGGAGAAAAUAAGGCUAUAAUUUCUUUAUCUUCAGCUCCUGCACUAAAGGGUGAUGUUGUUGCAUCUGUUUCUGCUUCUGGUACCAGCACAUGUCAGAAUAGGUUAUAUGCUCUUGCUACUCGAUAAGAAUCUGAGGCAUCACCUGAUGUCGUGACUGGUAUGUUACAACUUUUUUUCAUGAUGUGUAUUAUUUUCUUUAUCUAGGGUCCACUAUCUCUUAUGUGACCUUAUUUGUGGCUGUGUAUAUUGGUUUUGUUCCUAAGGUUAUUUCAGAUUCUUUUUCUAUUUCUACCUCGGUAGGUGACUCUGUGGUUGCUAAAAGGGUAUAUAGGGGGUGCGUGGUAUCUGUUGGUAGUAUACAAACUUUGGUGGAUUUGUUUGAACUUGAUAUAGUGGAUUUUAAUAUUAUUCUGGGGAUGGAUUGAUUACACUCUUGUUAAGCGUCCUUAGAUUAUCGGACCUGUAAGGUUGUGUUUAGGUUCCCUGGUGAACUGAUUAUUUAGUGGGAGGGUGGUUUCUUAUCUCCUAGGGGAGGUUUAUUUCUUAUCUUAGAGAUCGAAGAUUAAUCUCCAAAGGGUGUCUAUCAUUUGGUCUGGGUUAAAAAUUUUAACUUAGAAGGUCCUUCUUUGUAUUUGGUUCCAGUGUUAAAUGAGUUUCCUAAGGUCUUUCUGGAUGAUCUUUCUAGUGUUCCUCCAAAUAGAGAGAUAUAGUUUGGAUUGAUUUGGUUUGGUUUUAGAAACUCAUUCAAUAUUUAUUCUUUCUUAUAAAAUGGCUCCGACUGAGUUGAGAAAACUCAAGGAAUAUCUUAAAGAUAUUUGGGAUAAGGGUUUUAUCUAUCCUAGUUCAUCCCCAUGGGGUAUACCAGUAUUAUUCGUGCAUAAAAAAAUAAUUUCCUUUUGAUGUGCAUUGACUAUCAAUAGUUGAAUAAGGUGACGGUUAAGAACAAGUAUCCUUUCCCAAGGAUAUAUGACUUGUUUGAUCAAUUGUAAGGUGCCAAAUUCUUUUCUGAGAUAGAUCUUUGGUCUGGGUAUUAUGAACUAAAUAUUAGGGAGGUGGAUAUUCCUAAGAUAUUUUUUCAAAAUCAGUAUGGGCAAUUUGAAUUCCUUGUUAUGUCAUUCGAUUUGACUAAUACCCCAACAAUAUUUAUGGAUUUGAUGAACAAGGUUUGCAGGCAGUUUCUAGAUCUUUUUUUCAUUGUGUUCAUCGAUGACAUACUACUAUAUUCUAAGAUUAAUUUGGAACAUGCCAAUCACCUUCGUGUUGUGUUGCAGACCUUAAAGAAGCAACAAUUGUAUGCCAAAUUCUCUAAGUGUGAGUUUUGGUUGAACGUUGUAAAUUUUCUUUGUCAUAUUAUUUCUAGUGAGGGGAUCUACGAAAGGUAACGGUGGUUAAAAUAUGGCCUAUACCCAUGAAUCCAACUAAUAUUUGGAGCUUCUUGGGUUUGGCUGCGUAUUAUAGGCAGUUCGUGGAAAAUUUCUCGAUGAUAGCUGCCUCAUUAACUAAGUUGACUUAGAAGAAGGUAAAGUUCUCUUGGUCAGGUACAUGUGAGGAUAGUUUUGAGAAGCUUUAAGGAUAAUCUAAGUUUGGCUCUGAUUUUGACUUUGCUUGAGGGAAAUGAGGGGUUUGUGGUUAAUUCUGAAGCAUCCCGAGUGGGACUUGGUUGCAUUUUAAGGCAACAUAGGAAGGUGAUUGCCGAUGCUUCUAGGGAUUUUAAGAUGCAUGAGAGUAAUUAUCCUACUCAUGAUAUGGAGGUUUUAGCGGUGGUUUUUGCUUUAAAAAUCUGGUGAAAUUAUUUGUAUGGGGUGCACGUGGACAUCUUUUUAGAUCAUAAGAGUCUACAAUAGAUGUUCACUUAGAAAAAGCUGAAUCUUAGGCAGAGAAGAUGAUUGGAGCUUCUCAAGGACUGUGAUAUGAGCCUUCCCUACCACUCAUGUAAAGCUAAUGUAGUUGUUGAUGCUUUUAGUAGGUUUUCCAUAGGGAGUUUAGCAUAUAUGGAUAACGAGAAGAGGGAAUUAGUAAAGGAAAUUCACUGCUUGGAUAAUCUUGGAGUUCGUCUCUUGGACUCUAAUGAAGAUGGUGUGAUGGUACAUAAAUUAGUUCGGUCUCUCUUGGUGCAGAGAUUAGGAAGAAGCAAAUUCUAGAUCCCAUCUUGAUGAAAAUCAAGAGUGAUGUUGGUGGAGAAAGGGUGAUGGUGUUUGAGAUUAGUGGUGAUAGUACCUUAAGGUACCAUGUGUGGUUAUGUGUUCCCGACAUUAAUGGUUUGCGGUAAAGGAUAUCGGUUGAGGCGCAUGAAUUGCGCCAUGUUGUUCAUCCCAGUUCGAUAAAAAAUUAUCACGAUCUCAAGGAGAUGUAUUGCUGGAAUGGUAUAAAGAGGGAUGUGGUUGAUUUUGUGGCCUAGUGUAUGGUGUGCCAACAAGUUAAACUUGAGCAUAUGAGGCCUGGAGGGUUGUAUAAGGAAAUUGAGUUGCCUGAAUGGAAAUGGGAGGCAAUUAAUAUGGACGUUGUUAUCGAUCUUCCUCGAUCUCAGAAAUAAUUUGAUUCAGUUUAGGUCAUCGUGCAUAGGAUGACAAAGUUUGCUCACUUCUUCCUAGUAUGGACUAACUUUUCGACUGAGGACUAUGCAUGGUUAUAACUUCAGGAGAUUAUGAAGCUACAUGGGGUACCUAUUUUGAUUAUCUCUGAUCGUGGUAUGUAGUUUUCAUCUCACUUUUAGCGGUUUUUUAAGAAGGGGUUGGGGACUAAGGUUAGUUUGAGUAUAGCUUUCUACCCGCAGAUGGAUGGGCAAGCAGAGAGGACUAUUUAGACAUUAGAACAUUAGAUAACAUGCUUCCUACGUGUGUGAUUGAUUAUGGUGGCAAUUGGGUUUAGCAUCUACCUUUGGUAGAGUUUUCUUACAAUAAUAGCUAUCAUUCUAGGAUUGGGAUGGCCUCUUUUGAGGCAUUGUAUGUUAGGAGGUGUAGAUUUCCUAUUGGGUAGUUUGAGCUUGGUGAGGUAGGUAUGUUUGGCAUGAAUUUGAUUUAUCAGGCGAUAGAAAAGGUACAAAUGAUUUGGGAUAGUCUUAAAGCUGCCCAAAGUCACCAAAUAUCCUAUGCAGAUGUAAGGCAUAGAGACUUGGAGUUUGAGGUUGGGGAUAAGGUAUUCCUAAGGGUAUCCCUUAUGAAAGGAGUGAUGUGGUUUGGUAAGAAAGGGAAGCUUAGUCCCCAGUAGGGUGGUCCUUAUGCGAUUUUACUGAGGGUUGGUAAUAUGGCUUAUGAAUUGUAGUUGCCUUCUAGUUUGAGCUUCAAUCAUCUGGUAUUUCAUGUCUCUAUGUUGAGAAAGUUUCUUGGUGAUCCUUCUAUGGCGGUUUCUUUGGAAGGAAUGGGUAUAUCAAAUUCUCUAUCUUAUAAAGAGGUCCUAGAUGAGAUAUUAGAUCAGUAGGUUCAUCGGUUAUGGACCAAGGAUGUGACCUCGGUUAAGGUUCUAUGGAGGAACCAUAAGGUGGAAGAGGAUACAUAUAAAGCGAAAUGGCCAUGAAGUCCAAAUAUACGUAUUUGUUUUCUUCUCAAAAUAUUCAUGCGGGAGUUAUGUGUUCUCAAUCACAUCUUUGUUUUAUAACUUGGUUAAAGGUUGGAUUGAUAAUUGAUAAUGAAAAUAAAUUGUGCUUGUGUUAGACCUACCUUGUCCGUCAUUCGGUGACCAAUGAUCCUAGUGGGGAUGGCUGAAACACGCUAGGUUGGGACACUUAGAAAAUUUCUUAGAUUUCUAGGUUUUGGACAUCAUAUGAUUUGUGGGUACCAGUCGUAUGAUGGGGUACAAUUGGUAUACUGUUAGAUGUAUGCAAACCAAUGUUGGUUGGUGGGCUCGAUUGAUUUCUAGAAUGGAUACGACUUGGGUGGGUACGAGUCGUAUGAUUUGUAAUAGUUCGUAUGGUUUCGUUUUUCCUUUACUUAAUCUGAGACAUAGUAACUUAACUUGGAUUUGAGUACGAGUGGCUCACCAUGAGCCAUAAGCUAGGGUUUGAGUCAUACCAUUGACUCGUAUAGUAAAUAGUGUUCAAACUUCCUUAAAUUCUAUUCUGCCAGGGAUAUAGUUUAGGGGUACUGAUCAUAUGGUUUGGGUAUGACUUGAUUUGGGUAAGUCAUAUGUUGGACAGUGUUGGGUCCAAGAGGAAGGCCUAGGGUACGAGUGGUGGGUACCUCUCAGUUUAAAGGGUACGACUGGUAUGGGGCAGUCGUACCAUCUGAUGGGAAUUUUAAGUAGUUUAAGAUGGGGAUAAGUUGGACAUUUAACCACUAAACCUCUUAAGGCCCUAUGACUUAAAUCGUUUUUGGGGACAUCAUUUAACCUAUUAUUCUAAUCUUAAACACUUAGAAAAACUCCCUAAUUUUGUCCAAGGCUCUUGGGUAAAGGAAGGCUAUGGUUUCAUCUAGAGGAUCAUUUUGGGGCUUGUAUGGGUGAUUUCUCUCCAUCAUUUUCAUAAUCUAAGGCAUGUACUCCUCUCUCAUUUUUAGUUCCAAAUAAAGGCAUGUUUUAUGCAAUGUUUUCAUGGCAUGAUUAUUGUAUGGUUUUGGGUUUUUCAAAUAGAUGUUGGGGUUUUGGUAUUAAAUGUUUGGUUAUGGAUUUUACAUGUUUUAAUUACUAAAUUACAUGCUUUAAUGGUGGUUUCGACUAUUGGUUGCAUGGUAAUGGUUAAUUAGUAAUUGGAUUUGGUUUUGGAAACACUAUGCCCCCAACAUGUUUGAUAAAAUGCCUAUGAGAAUGAUUUUACUAUAUUAUUGAACUUUUAAUGGAAUUAUGUAAUACCCUGCACUUCUACCUAGCUUAAAAUCAUCCCAAAAAUGUUAAAGACUUGCUUUAAAAGAUGAAUCAACUUUUAUACAUGUGGAAUUUACAAGAUUUUAACUUUUUGUCAUGUGGGAAAUUGAAUAAGCUUUCCAUCGAUAUCAAAUUUGCCCGAAUAUGACACCCGAGCGAAGAGUUAGAGCUAUUUUAGUAAGACAGUGUGCCACUUGAGCCUUCAACGAGUCGCGAAGCAAGCCAAAAUGGAAAUCAUUAAAAUCCAGUGGGCCACCGAGAUUAUGGUGCAUCGUGCCAAGGCUCAAAUCCAGAGUUGUCAAUUUCUAGUGUCUCAGCGCGAUACCACCGCAUCACAGUAAGAUUCCAGGUCCCAUCUAGUAUUGCAAUACGAUUUCAUCGCGUUGCACCAUCAGCUCAAUUCCCAGUUGGUAAUUUCCCGUGGCAUGACGCGAUAGCGCCGCGUUGCGCCAAAUGCCCAAAUUGGGUUUUCAGUGACGAAAAAUAAAAACCUUCUAACGGCAAUUAGGUCUUUUUCCAUAACCCAGAUCAACCUAUAACCAUGAAAUUAUGUCCUAAAAAUCCUAUUACAUCACUUUUUCUCACUUUCUUUCAAGAAUAAAAUCCGUCUCUCUCAAGAGGCAAAAAACCUAGCUCAAUAAGUCAAGGCCAAUUCCAAGAAUCUUUCCAAGAACUUCAAGAAUUUAGACUUCCAGGUAUGCAUAGUGUUCAUUCAUGGAUCCUUUUCGUCCAUGAAGCCCAAGAAUCAAGUUUUAAAUCAUGUAUUAUGAAUAUUAUGUUAUGGGUUGAUUAUGUUUAUGUGAUUGUUGUUGUAUGGUUCCUAAGUUGGAAUCUUAAUGUGUUUUUAUGGAAUUACAUUAGUACAUGAGUUUAAAUCCAUGAAUUGAGUGGUUUAUGAGGUGUUAAUUGAUAAUUAUACCUAUGCCCUAAGUGGUGCAUGUAAGGUGUUUGAUAAAAUUUCAUGUAAUGUAGUUCAAUUGUGACUUAAGUGAUGGAUUCAUGUUUUACACUUAUGUUCAAAUGACUCCUAUGCUAUUGAUAUGCAAUGUAGAUGUUGUUGAAAUGCUCAUGUUACUAGAAUAUGGAAUUAUGACAUUGAUUAUAUGCAUUCCUUCCAUGUACAAGAUUAUGAUAACCAUGUACUUCAUGAAAUCCCCAACUUAUUAUGUUAUGAAUUGUUGAUUUUGGUCAUGUGUUCAAGAAGUGUCAAGUCUUGUCAGUUUUAUGCUAUCGAGUUCUGGGGGUACUUGUACCCGAUGAUUUAGUUGUAUGCCUAGAGAUAAUAUUAUGUUUUCACGAUAUCCUCAGUCAAGCCAUGUUCAGUAGAAUUCAGUUAGUCGUGUGACUUAGGAAAACUCAGUAAACUUAGUAAUCCUAGUAAUCUCAGAAAGCUCAGUAAUUCGGUAAGCUCUGUAGUAUUCCAUCAGUCAACAAAACUCAAUGAACUCAGUCUAGUUCAGUUUAGUUAAUCAUGUUUAGUGUCUAUUCAUAUGGGAGUAGGAUUUAGAAUUGAGUGAACCCAAAGAUGAGGAAAUACAUACUGACAGUUGAGGGUGUGAUCCUUAAAAGCAAUCCUUGCAUUUUAGAACUAUGUAGCCAAUAUAGGUUGAGACAUCAACAUUAUUAGAUAAGGGUUGAUGAGGUAGAUAAAUACUGUCAGAUGAGGGUCCCACCAUUCUCUUUUGAGGACACUAUCAGAUGAGGAUCACUCACAGUUUGUCCUUACCAGUGGCAUGGUAUUGACACCCUUCCAGCUGGGGUUACAGAUUAGACCCCAACUCAGCUAUAAUAGCUUAUUAGGGGUAUGUCAGUUAGAUGAUUACCUCUUAUAGUUUCAGUUUCAGAUUCAGUCUUCAGAAUAGAACUCAAUCCAGUUCUAUAGAAAUCAGGAUUAUUAGAUACAGUCGCUUAGCUCAGUACGGAACUCAGAUAGUUCCGUCAGAUUUCAGGACUGUCAGACAUAGUCACCCAGUUAAUCGUACAUUAAUUAUACGAAAUUCAUGUUACCAGUAUUCAAAUUUUAGGAUUGUCAGAUAUAGUCAAUCAGACUAGUUCUUCAUAAUCAGAACUGUCAGAAAUAGAUAUUUUUUAUCAGUAACACGACAUAAGUUCCUCAGUACUCAAUAGACUUAGUCAUUCAGUAUCCUAGUAUUAGUACUCAGAUAUCAGAAAAUCUACAUUAUCAAAAUUUAUGAGUCAGUGUUAUCAUCAUCUCAGUUAUAGUUACGUAUUCAUGCUUGUAUUCUCACGAUCAUGUUAUUCAGCCAGUUAGCAUUGUUCAUGCAUAUGAACCAUUUCAUUCAUCCUACCUCACUUGCAUUCCAGUAUAUUCAACGUACUAACGCAUUUGUGCUAUGGUGUUUUAUACCAUAGGUUUAUAAGUACGUGCUCCUGAGCAUCUUUAGUAGAUCAGAUGUUCAGUAGCCAAACUAGCAGUGAGUCCUCAUCAUUCGAGGAUAACAUAGUUAUUUUAUUACUUUAUUAUUCCAGUAGUUCAGAGUUAGUUUGGCACAUUUCCCAUCAACUCCACAGAUUUCAAAUAGUUUAGAGGAUUUCAGACUACAACAUGUUACAGAUAAUUUAUUUCAAUUUUGGGUAUUGUUAUACCCCAUCACAGACAUUAUUUUAUAUUCAGCAUUAGUUCAGUUUUGAACCUUAUGGCCUUAUAGGUUAUAUUUUAUGUAUUUACAGUAAUUAUUCAGUGCUCAGUUACAGAUAUCAGUCAUGGGUUAGCUUAUGAUCCUUCGGGGUCAUGACCACCGUGUAAUAUUUCGAGUACCAGAUUUGGGGCAUUACAAAUUAUUGCAUAGUAUGGGUUGGUAAUGCAACCCUAAAUAGUAUAAAUAUUUUAAAUAGUUUGGAAUGGGUAAAUGGUAAGGUUUCGUGGUCAUGGUUAUGGUUAAUUGAACAUCCUUGUGGGGUACAAGAGAAUCCCCCAAGUAAACAUAUUAAUGAACAACUUAUGGGGUACAUCAGAUUCCCCCAAGAAAACAUAAUAAUGGAACACUUAUGGGGUACUCGGGAUUCCCCCAAGUUAACUUGAUAAUGUAAUCUAUGCGUACAUGGGAACCUUUUACAUUAAAAGGUUAGCUAAGGACAUUGCUUGUAAUCUAUAAUUGGUAUGAUGAUACCUCUACUCAUAGCCUUGGUUAAUAAUAAUGGAAUAAUGGCUUGUUGGAUGGUAAUGGUUUUAAUUGGGUAAUAAUGGCAAGGUAUGAUAGCUAACCAGAAAGGUGCGAGUCUAAUGGACGGAUAUUAGAAACUCAUGUUUUCUAACAUGUUGGUUGGUUAUAGCGACUAUUUAUGAUACUAUGAGGUACCUAGGAAUCCUCUAAGUACACUAUACAUAUGUAUCAUAGAGAGCUAAGGGUACUUAGAAAUCCCCUACUCUUAUGCUAUCUUUGGUUCAUACGGCUACACACAUCGGGGCCUGUUUAUGGGGUUACAUUGGACCCAUAUAGUUUAUGGGUUGUUCUAGGAUGGUUAAGCUACACAUACUGAGGUUAAUGGUUUUUUAGUGCAUAUUAAACCUAAUUUUCUUUCCCGACAUAGUUAUAUAUAUGUAUGGUUGUAUGCAUAUGGUCAGUUUUCUUGAUUUUACUAUAUGACAUUAUUUUAUUCUUAUCCUAAGUUUAUGCUAGCGUUCACCUACAAACUCAUCUUUGGGAGGUUGUAUCCCCACACAAUGUAGGAACUGGUCAUUCUACCUGUCUGAUGCCUUUACAUAUUUUGGUCAUUAUAUGGAUAUUGGUUUUUGUUAUAGUUGGGGGUAUGUCCAAACCAGAUAUUAUUUUUCUUUUGGUUAGUGGCUUUGUGUGGCUACUAUGGGUUAGAAUGGGCGGUGUCGCUAUUAGUCGCAGCCUUAGUAUUGGCAUUGGUAUUGGGGAUGAUAUUGUUGGGUUGAAUUUAUGAUUGUUCCAUCCUUUUACGUUAUGUAUGGACAGGAACUUAGCUUUUAUAUUGAUUUGGUUAUGGUUAUGGUUAGACAUAGAUGGUUGGACUUGUUUGGGUUGGUCAUAGUUAUAGACCUAUUCUAGAGUUUGGAAUGGUAAUAAACACUAUCUUAUUAUACGUUGGGAAUUCAUCCGACUCAAGGUACGUAUAUUUUAAGGUUGGGUUGGGUAAUGAGGGUGGUCCAUAGUCUUGGAUGGACUUGGGAUGUCCAUUACGACAAGGCCCUAGUUUGUGUCGAGUCAACAAUUUCUUCUAAAUUUUGGCAUUUGUUUUAAAAAGGUUUGGGUACUCAGGUGAAUCUUAACACUACUUUCCACCCUUAAAUGGAUGGACAAGUGGAACAUACCAUUCAGACUUUAGAGGAUAUGCUAAGGGCCUCUGCAAUUGAUUUUAAAGGUAGUUAGGUUGAUCGUGUGCCUCUUAUUGAGUUAGCGUACAGUAAUAGUUAUUGUUAUAACAUUCAAAAGGCUCUUUUUAGGCUCUUUAUGGUAGGAGGUAUAGGUCUUCUAUUAGAUGGUUUGAGGUCGGUGAGAUUAGGUUGUUUGAUCUUGACUUGAUUCAUCAAUCCAUGAAGAAGGUAAAGGUGAUUAGAGAGAGGCUUAAGACUACUCAGAGUCACCAAAAGUCUUAUGUGGAUGUGAGGUAGAUGGAGUUGGAGUUUGAGGUUAGUGAUUGAGUGUUCUUUAAGGUUUCUCCUAUGAAAGGAGUCAUGAGAUUUAGGAAGAAGGAAUAGAUUAGUCCCUGAUACGUUGGUCCAUAUCAUAUUAUGAGUGGAAUUGGGAAUGUUACUUAUGAAUUAGCUUUGCCAGUGAGUUUGGCUUUAAUUCAUCCUAUUUUUUAUGUGUCUAUGUUGAAAAAGUGUGUGGUUGAUCCUUCUUUUAUAGUGCCUAUGGAGGAUUUUGGUGAUUCGAAUUUGUUGUCUUAUGAGAAGGUUCCUGUGGAGAUAUUGGAUCGGCAAGUUCGCAGGUUGAGGAUCAAGGAUAUAGCUUCGGUGAAGGUUCUUUAGAGAAACCAAAAGGUGGAAGAAGUUAGAUGAGAAGCUGAUGAAGAUAUGAGAGCCUAGUACCCAUUUUUGUUUCCCGUAUUGGAUCAAAAUGUUUGAGGUAUGAGUUUUAUUUCCCAUAUUACCAUAUUUAAAUUUUUUCUUGGAUUUUGUUUGCAUUCUUCCUGUUAUCAUGCUAAAUGCCCCUUAACUCUUCAUUCGGGAAUGAAUAAUCCUGGGGGGGAGGGGGUUAUUGUGACACCCCAGGUUCUUAUACUCUAGGCACUCAAGGAGAUAAACUACUAGAUGGGCCAAUUUCUGAAGUAAAGUCAAAAAUGCCAUGACAAAGGCUUAGGUAACGAGUUGUUAUCUUACGUAAUAAGUCAUUAUGUGGGACUCGUUUCCACGACACUGAGGUAGCCAAGGUUUGGUCCCUUGACAAAAAGUUUGGGUAUGAGUCAUUAAGUAAUGUAACAAACUAUUACGUGAGACCUGUUGCUUUAAUAGUGAAGGACCAGGAUUCUUAUUCUUAGGUAAUGAGUCUAGUUAACAACUCGUAAUCAGACAUCACGAGUCUAAGUAAUAGGCUUCUUUUCAUAUUUUGGAAAUUAUGACUGUCAUAGUUGGGGGGAUGUCCCGACUUAGUUUUGUAUUCUUGGCUUAGAGGCUUUGUGGAAAAGUGUUGGUUGGAUUGUUGGUUUGACUUUUAGCAUUUUCUUUUGACUUAUCUAUCCUUAUUUCUAUUUUGGUUGACUUUUGUUGUCUAUUGUUAUUAUUAUUGUGCUCUUGAGGUAAGGCUAAGGGGGUGGUCUCCAGCCCAUGGUGGGUUUGAGAUACCUGCAAGAUCUUGAUUCGGGUCGUGACAUAUAAUUACUAAAAAUUCUGAUUUUAUGUCUGUAAAUAUACAUGAUUGGCUCCCGAUACAUUUUUUUCAAUCUUAGAUCUAUCGAGAUACAUAAUUAGCUCCCGACACAUCCAACGAAGAUAUUUAGUUGAGAUUUUUUGUAAUUACUUUAUAAGGGUGGUGAUUUGUGUAAACAUGGUAAGUUAAAGUGUAUAUUUAUGUUAUUUUUUCUAUUUUAAUUAAGGAAUGUAAUUUAAUUUUCUAUUUCAAAUAAAAAACUUUAAUUUAUUUAAAUUAUUAGCUGUACUCUAUGUGUUAUCAAAGAAUAUGUAUUAUUUCAUUUGGACUAAUAAUUUAUUUAUUUGAUUAAUUAGAUUUUUUAAAAUUUAAUCAUCAAACAACAAAUAAUUAAUUCUUUAUCAAAGGUUAGGACACUCUAUAGGGUACGACUUCAUAAAUUUAAUUAUAAGUCAGUGUUAGAUUGAUCAAAUUGUUAUACUAAUUUAGGGUACCAUCUAGCAACAUUUCUUAAUAACCAUAUAGAUUGAAAUAUACAAUUUACUUUUAAUCUUCUCUGGAAGAAUAAUGUAGUAUUUUCUUUGUCCUCAUAGCUCCGAGUUACCCUAGGAUAUGAUGCAACUAUCAAAUCCUAAUAGGCGACUAACUAUGCGUGCAUGUCAAAUAUAACCGACCAUUGAGUAACCUACAAAAACUUUUCUUCUUUCAAUUAAUUUUCCUGACCAAGAUUUUAGUUCAGUUAUUUAUAAUUCAUGACAACAUAGCGUUUAAAAUCAUUAUAUUUUUUCCCACCAAAGCCGUGCCUUAUUAAGUCAUUUAUUGCUAAAUAAGAUAAAAAAAAAAAAAAGUAAAACUUCUUGUAUAACUAGCUUAUACCCUUCUUAACUAACUUCUUAGUCUAAGUUUUAGUAAUUAUAUUUUAUAGAUUUUAGUUAGUAAUAGGGGGAGGACGGUAGAGUGUUGGUGGAGGACGGUCACAUAAAGAAGAGAUGGCAGUCGUACUUUCAUACGCUCUUGAAUGACGAGGGGGACAGAGCUAUUGUGUUAGGGGAACUGGAGCACUCAGGGGAGUGUCGGGAUUUUAGCUAUUGUAGACGUUUUAAGGUAGACGAGGUUAGACAGGCAGUCCGCAGGAUGCGAAGGGGUAGGGCGACGGGGCCGGAUGAGAUACCGGUGGAGUUUUGGAAGUUCGUUGGAGAGGC